This 79195-nucleotide long non-coding RNA is filed under the name Gossypium barbadense (sea-island cotton). Its description in RNAcentral is "long non-coding RNA (GBAR_LNC001420)". The record is from RNAcentral. Lineage: Eukaryota; Viridiplantae; Streptophyta; Magnoliopsida; Malvales; Malvaceae.
AAAUUAAAAAGUAAAAAUACUAAAAUUUAAAUAUACAAAAAUACAGGGACUAAAAAUAGAAUUAAACCUUUUUUUCUCAACUUUUUCAUCUGCUCGCGCGAAAAUUUCUCUCGAUACCGUUUUCCUAAUUUCUUUUUAAAAAUCUACUUUUAGAUUUAGAAUAUAUCAUAAAAUUGGUAUCACCAUGCAAUCCGACAUCAAAUUCGAUUCUUUUAUAUAAAAUUAACUUUUAUUACUUGAAGCUAGUCUAAUUUUUUAUUUAACAAAUAUAAAAAUAUACAUAUAGUAGAACUUAAAUUUUUGUUUGAUAAUUAGAUUAGUAAAACUUUAAAUUUUUUUAUUCAAUUAAAGUUUUAUUUUAAUAUUUAUACAUUUUAAUUUUAAUAUGUACAUUUUAUUAACUCCAUUAAUUAUAUUUACACUAUUAUUUAAGUUUAUGAUCGAGUUGGUGUCACAAAUCAACCGAACACCAACUCAGUUAGAGAAUUUACUCUGAUGUCUUUCUAUAUUUAAAAUAAAUUUUAUUAUUCGAGAAUACUUUAUUUUUUUAUUUUUCUAAAAAAAUCAAUAAAAAUUUACAUAUAAUAAAAUUUAAACUCAUGACAAUUGAAUUAAUAAAACUUUAAUAUUUAUUAAAAUUAAAAAUAAUAGCAUAAAAUAGUAUAUAUAUUAACUGAAAUGAUUAAGUUAGUAUCACCUUUAAAUUAGAUUCCAACCCAAUUAAAAAAUUAUCAAAAACUCGUUUAUUUUAUAAAAUAAAAAACAUUAUUUUAAUAACAUUUAUGUCAUUUUGUAUUUUGAUAAAUCUAAAAAUAUUAUAUAUAUAUAUAUAUAAAUAUAGACAUGAGGAGAUUAUGAAAUGUGAAUAGAUGACAUCAUAAGUUUCACAUUUAAUUUUUAAAAUAAUUUUUUUUAUAAAUUUCUUAGGUGAAUAUUUUCACUCAACUCUUGAAUUAAAAUAAUAGCACAUUCCAAUCAAUAUUCUUUUGAAUAUUAUAAUAAUAAAAAUAUUAAUUAAAUUAAAACUCAAUUUUUUUUAAAUUACUACAAGAAUAGCGACAUCGCUAAUAUUUACUUAGCAAAUCAAAAUAAUUAUUUUAAAUUUAAAUUAUGGCAUUUAAAAAUGAAUUCAUUAACUAAUUUAAUAAAUUCAGUUUAUGCAUAAAAAUAGAAAAUAGAAAAUAUAUUUAAAGUGUUAUUGAGUUUCAUUAAAAUUUGUGAGGUCCAAAUAGAUUUGAAUUGAACAUGACUAUUCAUCACCGUUUUGUCUUAUCUAUGAUAUUUUUAUUAAUUUAACCUUCAAAUUACACAUUAUCGCAUGAUACAUCAUUUAUUUUUGUGGUCUUACAUUACCUAAACAAACUUCAAUAAAUAUUUUAAAUUCUACAUUUUUUAUUUUCUUAAAUGAUUUUAUUUGCCUGUGGGACUGUGCUAUAAUUUUGGGUGAAAUUUAUGAUUUUGUUUGACUUUAUUUUCAAAUUUUUCUAUAUUCAAAUUUAAGAAAUUAAAUUUUGGUUGCUUUCCUUUUAUAAUUGAAUUUUUUUAGCCUUCCAACUUUAUAAAAAAAAUUUACUUUAACUCUACAUUUAAUUUUUCCUUUUUUUAACUUUUGAGCUUAUAUUUUUUGUCAAAUCAUUUUAAAAUGAGUAAAAAAGUUAAUGUUUACUAACUUUGAUGACAUGAUAUAUGUAGAUUACCACAUAAAUGACCCGUCAACAUUUAAUUAAUUUUUAAAAAUAUUUUUGUUUAUAGUUUUUAUUAAUUUUUUAUUUUUUUAAAUAGUUGUUAUAAUUUUAAAAUUUUUAAAUUUAAAAAAUAAUUAAAUACUGACGUUUCAUACAUGUGGAUGUCAUGUCAGCAAGGUUAAAAAAACAUUAACAUUUCUUUUCAUUUAGAGGUAAUUUAACAAAAAAACUCAAGUUUAAAGGUUAAAAAGGUAAAAAUAAAUAAAUGAAAGGAUUUUUUUUUUAAGUUGGAGGACCAAAUAAAUCAUUAUAUAUUUAAAAUUUAAUUUGAAUUUUUACAAACUAAAUACUUUAGUUUUUUAUGUAAUAUUUAGUUUAUCCUUUUAAUUUUUUUGUUCGAAUAUUCAAUUUUUUUCUCUCUUGACUCUGAUUUUUUAAUCAUUUUAUUUUUUAAUAAUAAAAAUAUAUAAAACAUUAAUAAUUAAAAAAAUAUGAGACAAAUAAAAAAUUUAUAGUUUUUUUUAGUAGAAAUGACUGAUAUUUAUUAAGCACACGACUCAAGGUGGGUAGGCAAAAGUUUACAGCAAAAUACAAAAUGAAAAGACAACACAGCAGCAGGCCAAACGGCCAAAAACAACUAAAAACCGCACACUGGAAAAACAAAACCAUAAAUGCAAGUGAUCCAAAACCACCCUAAACCAAAACCAAGACAGUUCACAAUCAGAAUACCAGCCGAAACAACUUUCUCCUCCUACGUAAAAAGACGAUCUAGAGAUGAGUAAAAGGAAACCCAAAAGCUUUGAGUCCAGCCAUGGAGAUUCAGAGAACCUUCUCCACAAUUAAAGCAAUCUACAAUGAACUUUGGUGUCUCUGUGUCCAAACCAUCCAAUCAUUUUCCACUAUCAUCUUUACUGAAACCGGAACCCCGUCAACCCAAAUACUAGAACUUUGUCUUCUCCUUCCUUCGAUUGCCAAAGUAUGGGCUGCUCUAUUGACCAGUCGGGGAACAAAAAGGUAACUAACUUCUUCAAAGCAAUUUUCCAAAUUACGAAUAUGAUGAAUAAUAGAUCUAAGAAUCGAUUUAUCUUCUUCCUUUAUCUUAAGUUUUUUUUAUGACCGUUAGAGAAUCCCUUUCCACAACCAAGCACCGGAAACCCAUUCUAAAAGCAAAGAGCAAAGCCCUUUCACAUGCCCUUGCUUCAGCCACGAACGCGUCGACAACGUCCUCAAAUAGAUAAGUUUCUGCUCCUACAAUUUCUCCUUUAGAACCUCUAGCCAAAAUUGUUGUUGUAAAAGUUCUAGAGUCACUUUGAAAGGUUGUGUUAAAAUUUAAUUUGAUAAAACCCAAAUCUGGAGGACUCCAAAAUUCUUUCGGAAGAGAUCUACAAGAAACUCCCAGCUUCUCUUGGCAUAGACUUAUUUCUUGACCAUAGCCUCGAAUGAAACCUAACAGAUCCUGCAAAGAAAAUUUAACACCUUCAUGAAUCAACUUAUUUCUUCUGUACCAUAGAGCCCAUAGGAAAAUUGCAAUAAGUUUAUUCUGUUCAUCUGCUACAAAGAAAGUAUUAACAAAAUGAUUUUUGCAGUUUAAAGUGCUAUCCAUUGGAGCAAUUCUGAUUUGAAGGGACGCCCAGACACUCUGUAGUAUACCAUAGGACCACAGAAGAUGAAUAGUAUCUUCUGGAGCUUCCUUACAAAGAUGACAAUCAACUUCAUCUGUAACGCCCCUAACCCGAAUUCGUCCCCGGAAUAGAGUUACGGAGUAUUACCGGAGUUACCGAUUUAUUUAUUAGAUAUUUUAUUUCAUCUAACGUUCAUAUUUGGAACAAAUUAAAAUCAAUCAUAUUGUGCCUUAAACAUAUUUAUUUUUCUCGACAUGUUUUACUUGAAUUUAUUACUUUUCUCAAUAUACUUAAUUUCCUUGUAUCAACGUAUCAAAAAUAAUCACAUAUUGACAUAUUAUGAUAAAUAUCAUUCUUUAGUCAUUUCUUCAAAAACAUAAAUAAGGUAAUUCAUUAUAUUGAUAUUUCAUGCAUUUAAAAAUAAAAUUAUUACAAUUUAAUCCUUAUUUCCAGUCGUUAUUCUCAUACAAAUUGAUAACAACUCAUAUAUUCUAUAAAUUAUCAAAAUUUUUCAUAAUUUUAAAACUUUUCAAUUUAAUUCUUAAAACAUGUUUUUUCUCGAUUUUGAACUAAAUUAAUAAUUUAUUUAAUUUUGUAAUUUUAAAUAAUAAAAUAAUUCGCUUCAUGCAAAUUGGUCAUUUUUAACAUUUUUACAAAAUUAUCCAUAAAGUUUUACUUUUAUUCAAUUUAGUCCCUGAGCCUAAAACAUGCAAAUUAGUUAUGCUAGUUGAAUAUUCAUACAUAUUUUCCUCCUCCUACUCUCCAUUCCACAUCCUUAAUUUAUAUAAUAUGCUUAUAAGUAACAUUAUCUAUAAUUUCACUAUUUACUUAUAUGUAUAUUCAAAGCUGUCCAUUUGAGUCAUAGUCACUAAAUUAUUUAUAUCUUGAGCUACAGAACUCCAAAUUAAGAUCCGUUAAUUUUACCUGAAAUUAGACUCACAUUUAUUCUUACCAUAAAAUUUUUAUAAUUUUUGGUUUAGCCAAUUAGUACAGUUUAUUCAUUAAAUUAUCCCAUGUUUUGCUAUUUGACAGUUCUGACCACUCUUCACUAAAUUUUAAUUAUCUCUUUAAACAGAAUUCGAAUGAUGUUAUCAUUUGUUUCUUAUAAAAAUAAACUAAUUAAGGAAUCUAACCAUGUAAUUUAUGUCCCAAAAUUAUUUUUUUAUAAUUUUUAAUGAUUUUUUAAAGUCAGAAUAGGGGAUCUCUAAAUCAUUCUGAACCAGUCUCACAAAAAUAUAAAUAUCUCAGAAUACAGAAUUCCUUUACUUUCUCUAUUUCUUGUAUAUGAAAAUAGACUCAAUAAGCUUUAAUUCCAUAUCUCACUUAGCUUUUAAUUAAAUUUAUACCAUUUUUUGUGAUUUUUAAAAGUUAGCCUAUUGUUGCUGUCCAAAACUACUUUAGUGCAACAUAUUGAUUACCAAGUUUAUAACACUCUUAUUUCCAUUCUCUACCAUAUUUCCCAUUAUUCUCUCAUUUCCCUUCACUAAUAUAUCAAGAACAUAGAUCCUUAUAUAAUAAAACUCUACCUUAACAUCAUUUUCAUGGUUUUGAUAUUACCUUACAUGAGAAACUCUACUUAAAAUAUAUUGAAACCUUAAAAUUCUUACCUUGUCCCAUUGAUUUUAAUCUUUAACUUGAUUUUUCUCUCUCCUCCAACUUCUAUUUCUUAAAUCCAACUUGAUAUUCGAACUCCCCUUAGUCUCCUUAACAUUUUUCUCUCUUGGUAGCUAUGAAAAUUCUUUUGAUUUUUAGGUGAAAAGAGUGAAUUUUUGGUGGAAGGACUAAAUUGUAAAGAAAGCAAAACUUUCUUUCUUCUCUUUUCUUCUAACGUGAAAUGCAUGGAGAAAGAUGGAUGAUGUAUAUAUUCUUUUUCCACACACACACACGCACAUAUAUAUAUAGACUAAAUAAAAUAAUAAAAUAAUAAAAUAUCUUAUUAAAAUAUUAAAUAAAUAACAAUUAUCUAAUUAAAUAACUAUAAAAUAUCACCAACAUCAUCAUUACUUUCUAGAUUUCUCUCUCUUCUAAUUGACCAUUUUGCCCUUUGUGAUCUUUUAAAAUUCUAUUCUUGAGUCAUCACUUAAUUUGGUAAAAUUUCAAUUUAGUCCCUCAUAAUUCUUCACCUAUUCAAUUUGGUCCUUAUUCAUCAAUUUUCCUUGGUUUCUAGAUCAUUCCACCCUUAAAAUAUUUGCACUAUUAGUCCUUCAACUUUUUCAUAUUUACACUUUAAUCCCUCAAAUUUUGAGUAUUUACUCUUGGGCCACAAAACUUUUAUCACUUUUACAAUUUAGUCCUUUCUUGAAUCAAUAUGUCAUAAUAUACUUCCCAAUGACAUAACUCAAUUUUCUUCUUCUUGUCACUUUAUUUCCUUAUUUUACUGUAUUAAGGAUAAUAUCUUACGGUAAAAAUUUUCAAUGUGUUACAUCAUCUCUCAAAGUUCUUUGGAACAAAUUACUGUAAUGAGGCAGAAAAUUGUUAAGCAAUCUCUAGAUAUGUAUUUUAAUUUUUGCUGGGAUGUGCAUAGGCCAAAAAGACUUGUAAAAAUCCUCGUAAACCUCAAUAUUAGUAGUGAUGUAAUUAGUGUUCUGAAGAUGUUUUGUAACUAGGACCCGAUAUCCACUUUUCACUGAGUAUUCCCUAGUGCCCUCAUGCUUCCAAACUAGCAUAUCCUCUGAACUAGCCCCAGAUAGCGGGAAGGAAAGAAUGCUAUUUGCCUGAUCUCCAUCCACAAUGUUGCAAUCCAACUCAUUGUUCUAGGUGUUGGUCUCAGCCUUGAUUAACCGAGUCACUAUCGUCCAGUUCGGAUUCAUGUUUUGAACUGAUAUUCUGUUGUUCUCUACUCCAGGCAGCCAAGGAUCAUUCCAUAUAUUUACGCUAGCUCCAUUACCAAUUCGCCUCAAAAUUCCAUCGGCAAUCAGAUCCCAAGCACUGUAAAUGCUCUUCCAGGUAAACGAUGGGUAAAAGCCUAUCUUUGUUGAUAAUAUGUCUGAAUGAGGAUAAUAACGAGCUUUAAGAACUUUAGCUAAAAGAAAAUUGGGCUGGGAUAAAAAACGCCACACUUGUUUUGCUAAUAAGGCUUUAUUAAACAAAAACAGAUUUUUGAAACCCAGCCCACCAACAUUUUUUGGUUUACACAAAGCGUCCCAAUUACUCCAAUGGAUACCCUUAGUCGAUUUAUUAUUAGACCACCAAAACUUGUUCAUAAUACCUUCAAGUUUUCGACAUAAUAUUUUCAGCAAAACAAAACCUUGCAUAACGUAAACCGGUAUAGACUGUAAAACUAAUUUAACGAAAACUUGUUUUCCCCCCAUUGAUCAGUAGCGUAAGCUUCAACCUUUGAUACGUCUUCUAAACCAAUGGAUAAAGUUGGCAAAAGCCCAAGUCUUUUUCCGUCCAACCAUCAUAGGCAACCCUAAGUACUUCUCAGGGUUUGAAGCUACCCUCACACCCAAGACAUUAAUUAUGGUGUCCUUGACAUUUACAUCUACAUUAGCCCCAAAGUAGAUCAGUGACUUAUCAAAAUUCACCCUCUAACCCAAAAUCAUCUCGUACUCUCUAAUAAUAUCUUAGACCACAUUAGCUCCCUCGUUAUAAUCAUCUCCAAAAAGAAUACAGUCGUUUGGGAAGAACAAGUGGUUGAUCGAAAAUAUUUCCCUACCAACAGAAGCCCCUCUCAUCAGACCCUUUUGCUUUGCUUCGUUAAUUAGUGUUGAAAAACCCUCUACACAAAUAAAAAAGAGAUAAGGGCUAAGUGGAUCUCCCUGUCUUAAGUCUCUUGAAGGUGAGAACCACUCACCGUUCGAACCAUUAAGGCUCACCGAAUAGGAGACAGAACAAACACAUCUUAUAAUAAGAACAAUCCAAUCAGCAUGAAACCCCAAAUGAGUCAUCAUUUCGGCCAAAAAAUCCCAUUCAACACGAUCACAUGCUUUACUCAUAUCGAGUUUAAGCCAAAAUUUCCCUUCUUUGCUUUCUUCUUCAUUUUCAAAGAAUAAAUGACCUCAUAAGCAAUAAGCACAUUAUCUGAAAUAUGUCUUCCUGGCUAAAAGCCCCUUGAGCUUCAUUAAUGCAGUUUCCCAAAAUAGCACUCAUACAAUUCACCAAGAUUUUCAUGAUAGUUUUGUAAACUACGUUACAAAGACUUAUGGGUCUAAAUUGUGAGAGAUUUUUCUGUUUGUGGACUUUAGGGAUCAAAAUAAUACGGGUUUUAUUACUAUCUCCCAUUUCAGAUUCACCAUUCAAAAUAGAUAAGCAAUAACUAGAAAUUUUAGAUUCAAAAAUAUGCCAGUACCUUUGGAAAAAAAUUACUGAAAAGCCAUCAAUGUCGGGAGCUUUCAAUGGUGCCAUCAUCUUAAUAGCAUAGGAGAUAUCCUCCUCAAUAAAUUGUUGAAGUAAAAAAUCAUUCAUAUCAACAGUAACUCUUUUUUCCACUAACCCGAAUACACUCUCAUCUGAACCCAUAUCCGAAGUUGAAAACAAGUUACCAAAAAAAUCUGAAGCAAGCUUUAGCAUCUCCUCAGUCAUGAAAAUCCUUGCGCCAUUUGUCCCUUCUAACUCAUUGAUUCAACCACGGAGCUGGCGUUGAACAGCUACUUAAUGAAAAUAACUAGUAUUUCUGUCUCUAUUUUUUAGCCAAUUGACGCGAGCUUGUUAUUCCCAAAAAAUUUCUUGCUGAUCAGCCUCUAAGUUAAGGCCUAAUUGAACAUCUAUGAUUUCAGCAAGAAUCUUCUCUGUUGGUUCCCGAUUAUAAAGACAGUUUUGUAUCAACCCAUUUUUGAGUCAAAUCAGAACAGUGGUUUCAAGACCACAAAUCUGAAGUAGAAAUAUUUAUUUUAUUAUUAUUUUAAGGUCUACAAUAUGAUAUAAUAAUUGUGUGAAAAAUUCGUUAAGAAAUUUUAUCGAUUGAGUACUCAAUUAGACUAGAAGGACUAAAUUGCAAUAGAUGCAAAACUUGAUUCUAUAAGUUAAAGGUGUAUAAUUGCUAUGAAAGUUUAAAUUAGAGGUCCUUAAAUGGUAAUUAGACCAUUAUACUCCUUAAUGGACAAAAAUGGACAUGGUUAGGUGAAUUUCCAAAGUUUUGCAUUAAGAGUAUUUUGGUAAACUAGUAAUUAAAUGAUUUAGUAAGUUAAAAUAAAGUCAAAAUUUUUAUUCAUCUUCAUUUUUGUAGCCGAAUUUUCAAGGGAAUCCAUAGCUAGGGUUUUGGCCACUUUCAAGCUUGAUUGUAAGUCCAUUCUUGCCUCGUUUUUAAUGAUUUUUACUUUUUUGAGAUCGUUGUAACUUGAUUUAGCUAUUUCAAGGACUCAUUUAAGGAAGGAUUAAAGUCUAAAAUUUGACCCAUGAUGAAUAUUUAUGUACUUUGAUGUUUAAUGGUAGAAAAUGUAUGUUUGAUGUUAGAUAAACAACAUUUACAAAGUGACUUUUGAUGAAAAUGUCAAAAAGGGGACCUAUUUGUAAAAGGUUCUAAAAUGUGUGGUAAAUUUUGAAUAAAUGAAAAAUAUAGGCUGUCAUGAGCAUGAAAAAGGUUCAGCUAGGCUUGGGUUGUGAAGAAAUUGAAAGAAAUUCAUUUUACGAGCCUAAGGACUAAAUUGUAAAAUGUUAAAAAGUUAGGGGUAAAAAUGUAAAUUUUACCAUAAUUGUUUCUAGGCUAAAUUUAAUAAUGUGAUAAUUAAAUAAGUUAAAUUUGACAUUAUAGGUCAAGAAAAACGAAGUUUGGAUCUAGAUUGGGGGAAAAAUAAAGUAAUUGACAAACAGGUCCUUUUUGUCAUUUUUGUAACUGAGGUAUGUAUUUUAAAUGCUUUAAUUUAUGCAUGAAUUGUGUAAUCGACCUUACGGACACAUUUGACUACAAUUUGGCAAGUGAGAAAUCCCAAUUGAACCUUAGGAAUAGACUAGGAUACGACUGACAUGUCAAUAGGGUUUUAUGUUAUGAGAUCUGGGUGCUGGUCCUGUACGUCCUAUCGAUGGCUGCGUAUACUAGCAUAUGUUGCAGUUACUUGACAACUUGUGUGGCAGCACCAAGUAGCUACGUCUUGAUUGACAGCUUGUGUGAGCAGGCCCGUUAAUGGCUCGAGAGCGAGCAUAUAUGUGUUAUGAGAUAGUGGUAGCAAUGGCUACAUAUGUGAUACCUUGUGUAUGAGAUUUCUCGAGUAUCCGACAUUUUUAUUCCGAGUGGUUCAUUGGAUAUGCUAACGAUGAGACUAAGUAUGAAAUUAUUACGAAGAUGGUACAGGUAUGUACUUAAAGCUUAUGAUUAUAAAUUCAUGAAAUAACAAUUUCAAGGUAAGUUGAGAUGGAAGUAAAUUAUGUUCAUCAGAUUAUGGUAAAUUACAUUAUCUUAAGUUAUACUACUUGCAUGUUAAUGUAUGGUAAGGUUUGCUUAUUUCUUUCAUACGAGCUUACUAAGCUGUAUAGCUUACUCCGUUUUAUUUUCCAUGUUUUAUAGUGUCACCAAGCUAACUCGGAUUGGAGAUCGUCGGAGUUCACAUCACACUAUCAAAAUGUUAUUUUAGGUACCGAUGAUUUUAAACAUUUUGAGAAUAUAGCAUGUAUAGAGACUUGGUCAUUUUGUUAUAUGUGUCGUUAUGAAUUUGGCCAAAUGUAUUGGCUUAUAAUUGUCAAAGUCGUGAUGUGGUUUAUAAAUGCUUGAUAAAUGGUUGAAUGUGACUUAAUGGUUUUGUUGUUGAAUGGGUAAGAUUGGCUCAUUGGUACGCUAGGAAAACUAAGUAAAAUUAUGCAUGUUAUUGGUAGCCAUGUUGAAACUUAUAGAAUGUGAGUUUGGUAUGAUUUGGUUUGGAAAAAUAUGUUGUGAUAAAUAUGUUGAGUGUGGAUAAUGAAAUGAAAUGAUUUGGCCUUGUUUUGUGGAUGUUUUGGUUGCCUAAGUAUGCCAUAAUUUAUGCCAUUAAGAUGGUGGAUGUGUAUGUGCAAAUUAGGGUGACAAAUGGCUCGGUAAAUAACCUUUAUUUUGUCCAUAUGGGCAGACACACAGGCGUGUGUGAUACACAGCUUGUCUUAUGGGCAUGUGUUUCGGCCGUGUGUCCCCUACACUUUAAUUUUGAGAAACGGAAUGCUUAGAAUUGAGCACAUGGGCAGAGACACAGGCGUGUGUCUCAGCCGUGUGAGGGACACAGCCUUAGGCAUGGGCGUGUGUCUCGACCGUGUGAAGUCUGCACAUAUUUUAUGAAAAUUAAAUUAACCACACGGCCUAGCACACAGACGUGCGACUUGGCCGUGUGACUUCAAUUUGUUCAUGCAUUGUAAGUCAGAGAGUUACACGGGUUAGGGACACAGGCGUGUGUGACCACACGGCCUGCCCACACGUACGUAUAACCGUUGUACAUAGCAAAAAUUUUCUAAGUUUUGUAAAAAUUUCCUGAUUUAUCGGUUUAGUCCUGUACCACUUCUAAAGCAUGUUUUGAGCCUCGUAGGCUCGUAUUAAGGACAUUAUGAUUGAAUACAAAUGGUUUUUAUUUAGAUGUAAAUGUAUGACUCGAUUUGUAUGUUUGCUUGCGAUAUAAGUCCAGUAAUGCCCCGUACCCUGUUCCGGCGUUGAAUACGAGUAAGGGGUAUUCCAAGUUUAGUCUUUCUUCAUGAUCCACACGGUUUUUCUUUUGCUCUCUAUUCUUGGAUCUACUCCACUUCUGAAGCUGCUGUCCUAAUCUCACAAGCUUAUCCGGGACACUUCUUGAAAUAUCAGCCCAAUUUCUUUUUAUCUCCUCCUCAAAAGAAUUAUCUAAACGCCAUUUGGUCUCAAACCGGAAAAGAUUGUCUUUAUUAAAUAGAUUAUUCCUUUGCUUUCCCAUGGUAUCGAAAAGAAUCGGACAAUGAUCUGAGAAAGAGUGAUUCAAGUGUUCUAAUUGGUAGCUAGGACAAAAAUUUACCCAAUUCAAGGAUGCAACACCUCGAUCCAGCCUCUCCCUUAUGUUUAUAGUUAACCAUAAAGUAUAAUGUGAUAAUUGAUUAUCUUAUCCCUUAAUCAUGAGAUUAGAAGCUUAAUCUUUACUCAUAAGAAUGGAGUACAUUUUAUAGAUGGAGCAUCCGCGAUAAAGCGAUUAAUCACUGUUUUCGAUAAUAAAGUUUUUUUUUACUAAAAAAAUUCUAUAAUUAAUUCAAUCACCCAUAAUUGUAAAAUUUUUAUUAAAAUUUCUAAACGUUGGUUUCUAUUAAUAAAAAUAUAUUUAAUUAAUUAAAAAUAUAUUUAAAAUUAAUUUAUUCAAAGCGUUAAAAAUAUACCUUAUAAAUAAAAAUAAAAAUAAAAAAUUCACAAUUAAAAGUUAAAAUAUGAUAUGAAGAUAGAGAGCAAGAUUUUGUAUUUACCCUUUCCACAAUUAGAAGAAAAACAAAUAUUUAAUCAUCGAAUUUGUGAAUCAGCGUCAGAUAUUUUGGUAUCCAUAUAACAUAAAUUAUAAUUUAAACUCCACACUUUUUUGCGCUUUUCUUCGUCAAGAAGCCAUCGAACGACGCUAAACCAAUCAACGGAGAUGAUAGCAUAAAUUGAAUUUGAAUAAAAUAUUCAUUAAAAUUGCAUUUAGCUCGCGAUGGCCUCGUACGACACAACGCGCGAUGUUUGAUCCCAACUGAAACUUGUGGCCUGCCUCGUUGCCACGUUUAAAAUUGCAAGCAGGCUUAAGUGUCGUGCGAUUAGAACGAGCUCAAUUAAUGUUUGCAUUAUUUUAUUUUAAUAUUUAUUUGAUAUCGUUUUUAGACUUUACACCAUGUAAAUAUAAUACAAUAUAAUUGGGUUUUUUUUUCAUAUUUAUAUGUACAUAUUUGAGUUAUAAUUCUUAUUUAGCAAAAUAGUUAGGUGGCUCAGUUAUUUAAUAAAUUAGUUGAGUACGCAAAAAAGAGAGGUAAAGGUGGCAUUUGGAGUACCGAUUUCAAUGGUAUAUGAGAAUCUUUGUUAUCCAAAUUUUGAUGGCGGAUGUUGUAAUUUUGUGCUUCUGCUUAUACAUGUAAUUAAAGACAUAUAUUUCAACACAUGGAGAUGAUCCAAUAAAAACUCUGCAUUCCUACAUGAUACAUGUUUAAUGUUUAUAUAUAUAUAUAUAUAUAUAUAUAUAUAUUAUUGUUUUUUAAAGCAAUUUUUAUGUUUCCCAUCUAAGUUAUUGGUUUUAAUCCUAGAUCAGUAUAUUUUUAAGUUAAAGUUAUCGUUUUUAUGAGUAGCUAGUAUAUCCUGUAAAAUUUUAUGCCAAUUUUUUAAUAUUAAUUUCUUUAUAGAUUUUUAUCAUAUUUAUUUGUUUUUAUACAAUUUUUAGAAUUAUUCAUAGCUCCUCUUCAAUUUUUAAAUAGAAGGAUAAUGUACUUCAAUACAGGAGGAAUAAUGUCGAUAUCAAUCGAGCUAAGUCUCAAUUGAUAAUUUUAUUCCAAUUUUUUAAGUGUGAUAUCUAUUUAAUUCUAAAUCAACUAUGAUUAAUCAAACAAGGAAGGUACUAAUGCACAUUGCAAGUAUUCAUCCCCACGAGAUGAUGCGGAAGCUAAUCAAGUGGUGUGGAGGUCAAGAGCGAAGCAAAAAUAUUUCUUUAAGGGGGAAAAAUAAAUUUUUAAUUUUUAAUAGUCUAUAUCUUUAUAAUUUUUAAAGGAUUAAAUUAAAUUUUCAUAAUUUUAGAGGACCAAAAUGCAAUUUUACCUUUACUAAUUUAAAAUUUUAAAAUUUUCUAAAGAAAUAAAACAACAAUUUUCUGUUUUAGGGGGCCGGGCCCCUGCCAGCCCCUUACAUUCGCCUCUGGUGGAUGUUGACAGAAAAUGGUCAAUGCACAGUGGCCACUGGCUAUAGUAAAGUUGCGCAUAACGGAUUGUAACACCCCGAACCCGAAACCGACACCGGAGUCGAACACGAGGUGUUAACUGGCUUUAACCCCUUACAAAAUUUAUUUUCCAGACACUGCCCAAUCUGUGUACUAGUCGUUUUAAAAAUCAUAUCUUGAGUUUCGUAACUCGAAAAUCAGUUUUGUAAUUUUUCCCCGAAACUAGACUCAUGUGCCCAUCUAUGUAUUUUUUUCUAGAAUUUUUGGUCGGGCCAAUUAGUACAGUUUAUUAGUCAAAGUCUCCCAAGUUGCAGGGGUCGACUACACUGACCUUUGCCCAUUACGACUUGGAUAUCUCCCAGCACGGGGCUUCAAUACUGUUGCCGUUUGUUUCUAUGAAAACUAGACUCAGAGAGGAAUCUGUACAUAUAUGGUACGACCCCUAAUUAUCUCUGGUUAAUUUAUAAUGAAUUUCCAAAGUCGGAUCAGGGAAUCCAGAAACCGUUCUGGCCCUGUCCCACUAAAAUCUGAUUAUCUCUUAAUAUACUGCCCAUAUGAUCUUUUCGUUACCUCCUCAUGAAAGCAGACUCAUCGAGCUUCGAUUACAUAAUUUAUUCAUCAAUUAAUUCCACUCCUACUAUUUUUAGUGAUUUUUCAAUCUCAUGACACUGCUGCUGCCAGCAUCUGUUACGAAAGUAACUAGGUCCAUUUCAUGCCUACCCUUGAUCCAAUUCAAUCGAACAUUCGUGCCAUUUUCGCAUGGCUUAAAGUUUACAUGCCAUAAUUCAAACACAACGUACUAGCUUAUACAUGCCAAAAUGAUCUUCUAAACACACUAAGAAGAAAGUACCAAAACUUGCUAUCCGGUGUGAUGACUUCGAUGACGGCCCGACCCCGCAAAAAUAGAUGAGUCCAAGCAACCUAUAAUGGGUGACAAGGAAACAUCGAGUGACUUUAUAACUCAGUAAGUCAUAAGCAAUGCACAACCAUCUAUCGACAACAUUAUCACAAGAGGAAACAAAAUAGAACGAGACAAUUUACUCCAUCCAUACCGAACCAUACCAUAGUUCCUCCAACCUCUCAAUUCAAUUUCAUAUCAAUUCAUGCAUUCACAUUCUAUAUACUCAUCAAUAGGACAUUGAAGCAAUUUCAUAAAUCAAUUUAUUUUCGUUACAAUCAAACGACUAUACGGCCUUUCACCCAUCCUACGAUAAAUUUUAUGUACGUGACUUCAAGUAUAUAUGUCACAUAGGUUCGAACUUACCGAGCUCAACACCAAGUAUAAGCAUAGCACCUAUUAACCACGUGCUCAAGACACUUACCCGACCCGCUGUCCGCGAUCGACUCAAUAGUGUCGCACAAAUAGUGUCCAUAAUGAUUCACGAAUGUAUAUUGAGCCCGCACACUCAGUGCUAUACAAUCAACUCGCACACUUAGUGCCACGUAAUCAAAUCGCACACUUAGUGCUACAUAGUUAGACUCGCACACUUAGUGCCGCAUGGUCAAUUCGCACACUUAGUGCAUCAUAUUCAUUUCGCACACUUAGUGCAACAUAGUCGAAUCGCACACUUAGUGCUGUACAAUUUAAUCCCGCGCACUUAGCGCCAAUCUCAUGGUCAUAAAUGGUUAUCCCGCACGUUUAGUGCCAAGAUCAACAACUCAGUACAUCUUACCUCUUUUCAUUCAUUCAACAAUUUCAUCCUCACAUACGUACAUGCAUAUAUAUAUAUGUAUAUUUAUUCAUUCCAAUCAGCAUCAAUACAUACACAUUAUGACCAUUUGAAAUAAUACCCACUACAUGCUUAAUGACUUACCUCGUGUUGGGUAAGACGGUUCCAACUCGGCUACUCGAUAACCUUUUCUUUGCCUUUGCUCGAUUCACCUCCUUUAACUCCUUGAGCUAAAUCAAUAAUUUAACUAGUUUAACCACCUUGCUAAAUAUUUACAAUCCAAUUUCACAUGUAUAUGUAUGAUAGUAUAUUCGACCAAUAGCCUCAUGCAACUACCAAAGCCGAAUCAACUAAAUAUACUUAUGAAUAUAUAUAUAUAUAUCAUCAUCGAAAUCACCUAAGCUUAGACAUCAAUUUUUAAUUCCAAGCAAGUUGCCGAAUGCAACCUUACUAAAUUUUCAUGGAUUCAAUAUACCAUUACCAUGGAAUCAACAACUAAAAAUUCAUAGACAAUUUAGGAAAAUCACAUUACAAAUCUCACAUUCAAGCAAAGACCAUGGCCGAAAUGCAUGUAUACAUGUACAAUGUCAACUAUAACAUCAUUUAAACACCUAAUUUCAUCUCAUGAACACUUAAUCGAGUUUUCCUAAUCUAGCAUAUUUUCACAUCUAUUUGUAACAUCAUGUAAGUCCACAUAUAACUACAUUUCUUAAGUCCCACAUCUUAAUGCCCAUUAUAGCCACUCCCCUAGUCUAAAUCUAGCAAUCGGCAACACCACCUUUCCACUAUGUUAGCCGAAUACUCAUUCUCUUCCUAGUCCUAAGUUCGGCACCUCCAACAAAAUAGCUUAACAAUUUUCAACUUUCAUGCUAACAUAACAAGCAACUUAACACAACCAUAUAACUAGCAUGCUAAUAGCAUCAAGGUAUCAACUAGUUUUUAUUUUUAAACUCCUUAGCCGAAUCCUAACUCUCCAACAACCCCAAAUCCAACCAUGGAAUAGAUAGAAUCUAGACUCAUCACCCCAAAGGUAGGGUAAGCUUCCAAAAAUAUCAUUGAACAUACAUUGGUCUAAAGGACCACAUUGGCCGAAUCUUGCUUCCUCUUCUUCCUCUAGUUAGAACAAUUGCAAAAGAAAGAAAAUAUGAACACUCCUUCUUCCCUCCUUAUUAAGCAUUCAAACUCUCUCAUUUUUUUCAUGCCACAACAUCAAACACUCUCCCUAGGCACAAGCAAUGGCCGAAUUCCUUCCAAGUUCUUUUCUCCCCUUCUUUUUCUUGGUUUUUCGGCUAGGAGAUGGCAAGUAUGACACCCAUUUUUUUUUGUUCCCUUUUUCUAUUAUUAUCCCCAUCAUUUGUUCACCAAAGAAACAUAUUAAAUUAGAAUGAGUGGAGCAUCAUCACUCCUUGGCCGGCCACCAUGAAUUUUAUGGGCAAAUUGACAUGCAAAGCCAUGCUUCCUCAACCUAUUAUUAAUUAAUCCUUAUAAUUCAUCUAUCAUCUUUUCUAACUUCGUCAACUAGGUCCUUUUUGAAUGAAUUCACAAUCCUAAUGCUAAUAUUAAGCAUUUAAUUUCUCAUACAUUCACUGUCACACAACAAUUUAUGCAAUUAAAACACGAAAAUAAAUUUUUGGCUCGGUAAUGUGGUCUCGAAACCACAUUCCGACCAGGGUCUAAUUUGGGUUGUCACAACUCUCCCCCACAUAAGAAAUUUUCGUCCCCGAAAAUCUUACCGGUAAAUAGGUUUGGGUAUCGUUCUUUCAUCGAGCUCUCGGUUUCCCAGGUUGCUUCCUCGAUCCCGUGUUUAAGCCACAACACCUUAACCAACGGAACCCUUUUAUUUCGCAACUCUUUCACUUCACGAGUUAGGAUACGAAUCGGUUCUUCUUCAUAGCUCAUAUCAGCCUGAAUUUCAACCUCCGACGGACUAAUUAUGUGCGAAGGAUCAGAUCUAUAGCGCCGAAGCAUCGAAACAUGAAAGACGUCGUGAAUCUUUUCAAGUUCAGGAGGCAAAAUCAAUCUAUAUGCAACCGGCCCCACUCGUUCGGAAAUUUCGUACGGCCCAAUGAAUCUCGGGCUCAACUUGCCUUUACGGCCAAACCUGAGUACCUUUUUCCAAGGCGAAACUUUGAGGAACACUUUAUCUCCCACCUGAUAUUCAAUGUCCUUCCGUUUCAGAUACGCAUACGAUUUUUGACGAUCUGUAGCUACCUUCAGACUUUCACGGAUUACCUUUACUUUCUGUUCGGCAUCUUUAAUCAAAUCAACUCCGAAAAUUUUACUUUCACCGAGCUCGGUCCAAAACAAUGGCGUUCGGCAUUUACGACCGUACAAAGCCUCGUAAGGUGCCAUCUUAAUACUUGAUUGAAAACUAUUGUUGUAAGCGAAUUCAAUCAAAGGUACAUACCGUUCCCAUGAACCACUAAACUCAAGGAUGCAGCAUCUCAGCAUAUCCUCGAGUAUCUGAAUUAUCCGCUCGGAUUGACCAUCGGUUUGGGGAUGAAAAGCGGUGCUAAAAUGCAGCUUGGUACCCAAAGCUUCUUGCAAUUUCUUCCAAAAUCGCGAGGUGAAUCUCGGAUCUCUAUCCGACACGAUAGAAAUAGGUACUCCAUGUAAUCUCACAAUCUGAGUAACAUACAAUUCGGCUAGUUUAUCCAAUGAAAAAUCCGUACGCACGGGGAUAAAGUGAGCCGACUUAGUCAGCCUAUCAACAACAACCCAAAUCGCAUCCUUCUUACUUGCGGACAAUGGCAGUCCGGACACAAAGUCCAUUGUGACUCGGUCCCAUUUCCACUCGGGUAUCAUGAUCGGCUGAAGUAAUCCUGAAGGCACUUGAUGUUCCGCUUUCACUUGUUGACAUAUUAAACAUCUCGAAACAAAGUCGGAGAUGUCUCGCUUCAUACCAUGCCACCAAAACCGACGUUUCAAGUCGUUGUACAUUUUCGUGCUCCCCGGGUGAAUUGACAUUCGGCCACAAUGGGCUUCGUUCAGAAUCAUCGGAAUGAGUUCUGAAUUCCUUGGAACGCACAAACGACUUCUAAACCUCAAACAACCAUCAUCAUCAAUCUGAAACUCCGAUUCCUUGUUCGGAACACACUCAGCUCGUUUUGCAACCAAUUCAUCAUCGACUUUCUGAGCUUCACGAAUUUGAUGAGUCAAUAAUGGUUUGGCUUUUAAUUCAGCUACUAACACAUUGUCAGGUAGAACAGACAAGUGUACAUUCAUCGCUCGCAAAGCAAACAGUGAUUUCCGGCUUAAGGCGUCCGCAACCACAUUAGCCUUUCCCGGAUGGUAAUCAAUGACAAGCUCGUAAUCUUUCAACAACUCAAGCCAACGUCUUUGUCGCAGAUUCAAGUCUCGUUGAGUCAUCAAAUAUUUGAGACUUUUGUGAUCCGAAAACACAUGGCACUUCUCACCAAACAAAUAAUGUCGCCAUAUUUUCAAUGCAAACACAAUGGCGGCUAGUUCGAGAUCAUGGGUCGGAUAAUUUCUUUCGUGUGGCUUCAAUUGUCUCGACGCAUAGGCCACAACUCGACCUUCUUGCAUCAAUACGCAACCCAACCCGAGUAGGGAUGCGUCACUAUAAACAACAAACUCUUUACCCGAUUCGGGUUGCACCAAAAUUGGAGCUUCAGUCAGAUGAGUUUUCAGUUGAUCGAAGCUUUUCUGACAUUUCUCCGUCCAUUCGAACUUAACAUCCUUCUGAAGUAGCUUCGUCAUUGGUGUGGCUAUCAUCGAGAAACCUUUGACAAAUCGUCGGUAAUAGCCGGCGAGCCCUAGAAAGCUCCGGACCUCGGUAACAUUUCUCGGAGGCUUCCAGUUAAGUAUGGCUGAAAUUUUGCUUGGGUCAACUCGAAUACCCGAUGCGGAUACCACAUGACCCAAGAAGCUAACCUCUCUUAACCAGAACUCACACUUACUGAACUUAGCAUAUAACUGCUUAUCCCGCAAAAUUUGCAACACUUGCCUCAGAUGCUCAGCAUGUUCGGUCUCAUCUCUUGAAUAGACCAAGAUGUCAUCAAUAAACACAACUACAAACCGAUCCAAAUACAGCCUGAAGAUCCGAUUCAUCAGAUCCAUAAACACCGCAGGGGCAUUAGUGAACCCAAACGGCAUCACUAAGAACUCGUAGUGACCGUACCUCGUUCUGAAAGCAGUUUUGGGUACGUCCGAAUCUCGAAUCCGCAACUGAUAAUAACCUGAUCUCAAAUCUAUCUUUGAAAACACCGAUGCUCCCUUUAAUUGAUCGAACAGAUCAUCAAUACGCGGUAACGGAUACUUAUUCUUUAUCGUCACUUUAUUCAAUUGACGAUAGUCAAUGCACAACCUCAUGGUUCCGUCCUUCUUUUUCAUGAACAAUACUGGUGCACCCCAAGGUGAGAAACUCGGUCGAGCGAAGCCUCUAUCCGUCAAUUCUUGCAACUGAGCUUUCAACUCUUUUAACUCGGUUAGUGCCAUACGAUACGGAGCGAUCGAGAUUGGCGUAGUUCCAGGUAUAAGCUCAAUUCCAAACUCUACUUCCCGAACAGGUGGCAAACCCGGUAACUCUUCAGGAAAAACAUCCGGGUAUUCACAAACCACCGGCACCGACUCGGGUUUCUUUUCUAACUCCUUGUCAUCAAGUACAUGCGCGAGGUAUGCUUCGCACCCUUUCCUUACAUAUUUCUGGGCCAACAUUGCUGAUAUUACAGCUGGCAACCCCCUUAAGUCCGCAGACUCAACUCGGAUUAUUUCGUCAUUCGCGCACCUCAAAUCGAUAGUCUUGCUUUUGCAAUUCACAACCGCAUCAUGCGCGGUUAACCAAUCCAAACCAAGAAUAACAUCAAACUCGUCGAACGGCAAAAGCAUCAGAUCGGCCGGAAAACAGGAUUUUCGGAUUAUUAGAGGGCAUCUCUUACACACUUUAUCAACAAGUACGCAUUGACCCAAAGGGUUUGACACUCGAAUUACUAGCUCAGUAGACUCAACAGGUAGAGUCUUACUGGAUGCUAAGGUUUCGCAUACAUAUGAAUGAGUAGAGCCAGGGUCAAUCAAUGCAAUCACAUUAGUAUCAAAGAGAGUGAAGGUACCAGUGAUGACGUCGGGGGAGGAUGCCUCCUCUCGUGCGCGAAUGGCAUACGCUCUAGCAGGAGUACGGUUCUCGGCGCGAUCGGUCGUAUCAGAGGCCCCCCUCUGACUACCACCCCUGCCUCCUAAAAUUCUCGGUGGUCUACCUCUAGAUGUCACUCCACUAGGUCUUGCACCUUGAAUCUUAUUCUUCUCAUCCAGCUCCGUGCAAUCUCUAAUGAAGUGGUCCUUCGAACCGCAUCCGUAACAGGCCCUGUUAGUAGACUUGCCCCAACAUUCACCUAGGUGUCGUCUUCCACAUUGGGGACAUUCAGGUUUCUCGUGACGAUUAUUGCCCACACUAGCUACCGAAGUAGCUCGGGAGCCCAUCGAUGGUCUUGCCCUGAUGGAAAUUCCCGCAGUCGCCCUCGACUUAUUAAUGUCCUCCCUGAACUUCUUCACAGCUGAGAACGGAGCUUUACCCGUCGAUCUUUUACGAUAAUCUCUAGCUUCAAAUUCAGCCUUCUUCUUCUCCUUUCCAAGUUCCUCCGCCUUGCAGGCUCGUUCGACUAGUGUUACGAAUUCCUUUAUUUCCAGAAUACCCAUUAGUAGCUUUAAAUCUUCGUUCAAUCCUUCCUCAAAUCUUUUGCACAUAGCAACCUCAUCAGCUACACACUCCCGGGCAUACCUACUAAGUCUUACGAAUUCAUGUUCGUAUUCAGAUACAGUCAUACGGCCUUGCUUGAGUUCCAAGAACUCCUUACGCUUCUGGUCAAUGAACCGUUGGCUAAUAAAUUUCUUCCGGAAUUCCGUUUGAAAGAAGUCCCAAGUUACUCGCUCGUUCGGGACUAUGGAAAUCAAGGUCCUCCACCAAUAGUAGGCUGAGUCUCGCAACAAAGAUACAGCACAUUUUAGACAUUCAUCGGGUGUGCAUGACAAUUCAUCGAACACCCGAAUGGUGUUAUCAAGCCAGAACUCGGCCCUUUCGGCAUCAUCAGUUACUAUGGCCUUGAACUCCUCGGCCCCACGCUUCCUAAUCAAGUCUACAGGUGGCUUACUCAGCCUCACAGGAUCAGCGACUGACGGCCUUACAGGCUCUUGGGGUGGGUUAUUCAAAUUUGGGAAUUGUUGGACAGCCGGGUUGGCUCGGGCAUAUUGCGCGACCCACUCAUUCAUCAUGGUAAAGAAGGCUUGUUUAGCCCCCUCACCUUGAUUAUUCGCAGAUGACUGAGGUUCAACAGGUGGCGUCCCUUGUGCAGGAGCAGUCGCUACGCUCUCAACGUCAUCCGCUAGGGUUCUUUCUUCACCGGGAUCCAUUUACUAAUCAAGACAAAAACAUUUCAACCGUCAGAAGUCAUCACCCUUUUAAACAUUAACAUUAUGGCAUGUAUAGCUAGACUCAUACGUGCUAUGGAAGUCCUAGAACCGACUAAACCUGGCUCUGAUACCAAUAAAAUGUAACACCCCGAACCCGAAACCGACACCGGAGUCGAACACGAGGUGUUAACUGGCUUUAACCCCUUACAAAAUUUAUUUUCCAGACACUGCCCAAUCUGUGUACUAGUCGUUUUAAAAAUCAUAUCUUGAGUUUCGUAACUCGAAAAUCAGUUUCGUAAUUUUUCCCCGAAACUAGACUCAUGUGCCCAUCUAUGUAUUUUUUUCUAGAAUUUUUGGUCGGGCAAAUUAGUACAGUUUAUUAGUCAAAGUCUCCCAAGUUGCAGGGGUCGACUACACUGACCUUUGCCCAUUACGACUUGGAUAUCUCCCUGCACGGGGAUUAAAUACUGUUGCCGUUUGUUUCUAUGAAAACUAGACUCAGAGAGGAAUCUGUACAUAUAUGGUACGACCCCUAAUUAUCUCUGGUUAAUUUAUAAUGAAUUUCCAACGUCGGAGCAGGGAAUCCAGAAACCGUUCUGGCCCUGUCCCACUAAAAUCUGAUUAUCUCUUAAUAUACUGCCCAUAUGAUCUUUUCGUUACCUCCUCAUGAAAGCAGACUCAUCGAGCUUUGAUUACAUAAUUUAUUUAUCAAUUAAUUCCACUCCUACUAUUUUUAGUGAUUUUUCAAUCUCAUGACACUGCUGCUGCCAGCAUCUGUUACGAAAGUAACUAGGUCCAUUUCAUGCCUACCCUUGAUCCAAUUCAAUCGAACAUUCGUGCCAUUUUCGCAUGGCUUAAAGUUUACAUGCCAUAAUUCAAACACAACGUACUAGCUUAUACAUGCCAAAAUGAUCUUCUAAACACACUAAGAAGAAAGUACCAAAACUUGCUAUCCGGUGUGAUGACUUCGAUGACGGCCCGACCCCGCAAAAAUAGAUGAGUCCAAGCAACCUAUAAUGGGUGACAAGGAAACAUCGAGUGACUUUAUAACUCAGUAAGUCAUAAGCAAUGCACAACCAUCUAUCGACAACAUUAUCACAAGAGGAAACAAAAUAGAACGAGACAAUUUACUCCAUCCAUACCGAACCAUACCAUAGUUCCUCCAACCUCUCAAUUCAAUUUCAUAUCAAUUCAUGCAUUCACAUUCUAUAUACUCAUCAAUAGGACAUUGAAGCAAUUUCAUAAAUCAAUUUAUUUUCGUUACAAUCAAACGACUAUACGGCCUUUCACCCAUCCUACGAUAAAUUUUAUGUACGUGACUUCAAGUAUAUAUGUCACAUAGGUUCGAACUUACCGAGCUCAACACCAAGUAUAAGCAUAGCACCUAUUAACCACGUGCUCAAGACACUUACCCGACCCGCUGUCCGCGAUCGACUCAAUAGUGUCGCACACAUAGUGUCCAUAAUGAUUCACGAAUGUAUAUUGAGCCCGCACACUCAGUGCUAUACAAUCAACUCGCACACUUAGUGCCACGUAAUCAAAUCGCACACUUAGUGCUACAUAGUUAGACUCGCACACUUAGUGCCGCAUGGUCAAUUCGCACACUUAGUGCAUCAUAUUCAUUUCGCACACUUAGUGCAACAUAGUCGAAUCGCACACUUAGUGCUGUACAAUUUAAUCCCGCGCACUUAGCGCCAAUCUCAUGGUCAUAAAUGGUUAUCCCGCACGUUUAGUGCCGAGAUCAACAACUUAGUACAUCUUACCUCUUUUCAUUCAUUCAACAAUUUCAUCCUCACAUACGUACAUGCAUAUAUAUAUAUGUAUAUUUAUUCAUUCCAAUCAGCAUCAAUACAUACACAUUAUGACCAUUUGAAAUAAUACCCACUACAUGCUUAAUGACUUACCUCGUGUUGGGUAAGACGGUUCCAACUCGGCUACUCGAUAACCUUUUCUUUGCCUUUGCUCGAUUCACCUCCUUUAACUCCUUGAGCUAAAUCAAUAAUUUAACUAGUUUAACCACCUUGCUAAAUAUUUACAAUCCAAUUUCACAUGUAUAUGUAUGAUAGUAUAUUCGGCCAAUAGCCUCAUGCAACUACCAAAGCCGAAUCAACUAAAUAUACUUAUGAAUAUAUAUAUAUAUCAUCAUCGAAAUCACCUAAGCUUAGACAUCAAUUUUUAAUUCCAAGCAAGUUGCCGAAUGCAACCUUACUAAAUUUUCAUGGAUUCAAUAUACCAUUACCAUGGAAUCAACAACUAAAAAUUCAUAGACAAUUUAGGAAAAUCACAUUACAAAUCUCACAUUCAAGCAAAGACCAUGGCCGAAAUGCAUGUAUACAUGUACAAUGUCAACUAUAACAUCAUUUAAACACCUAAUUUCAUCUCAUGAACACUUAAUCGAGUUUUCCUAAUCUAGCAUAUUUUCACAUCUAUUUGUAACAUCAUGUAAGUCCACAUAUAACUACAUUUCUUAAGUCCCACAUCUUAAUGCCCAUUAUAGCCACUCCCCUAGUCUAAAUCUAGCAAUCGGCAACACCACCUUUCCACUAUGUUAGCCGAAUACUCAUUCUCUUCCUAGUCCUAAGUUCGGCACCUCCAACAAAAUAGCUUAACAAUUUUCAACUUUCAUGCUAACAUAACAAGCAACUUAACACAACCAUAUAACUAGCAUGCUAAUAGCAUCAAGGUAUCAACUAGUUUUUAUUUUUAAACUCCUUAGCCGAAUCCUAACUCUCCAACAACCCCAAAUCCAACCAUGGAAUAGAUAGAAUCUAGACUCAUCACCCCAAAGGUAGGGUAAGCUUCCAAAAAUAUCAUUGAACAUACCUUGGUCUAAAGGACCACCUUGGCCGAAUCUUGCUUCCUCUUCUUCCUCUAGUUAGAACAAUUGCAAAAGAAAGAAAAUAUGAACACUCCUUCUUCCCUCCUUAUUAAGCAUUCAAACUCCCUCAUUUUUUUCAUGCCACAACAUCAAACACUCUCCCUAGGCACAAGCAAUGGCCGAAUUCCUUCCAAGUUCUUUUCUCCCCUUCUUUUUCUUGGUUUUUCGGCUAGGAGAUGGCAAGAAUGACACCCAUUUUUUUUUGUUCCCUUUUUCUAUUAUUAUCCCCAUCAUUUGUUCACCAAAGAAACAUAUUAAAUUAGAAUGAGUGGAGCAUCAUCACUCCUUGGCCGGCCACCAUGAAUUUUAUGGGCAAAUUGACAUGCAAAGCCAUGCUUCCUCAACCUAUUAUUAAUUAAUCCUUAUAAUUCAUCUAUCAUCUUUUCUAACUUCGUCAACUAGGUCCUUUUUGAAUGAAUUCACAAUCCUAAUGCUAAUAUUAAGCAUUUAAUUUCUCAUACAUUCACUGUCACACAACAAUUUAUGCAAUUAAAACACGAAAAUAAAUUUUUGGCUCAGUAAUGUGGUCUCGAAACCACAUUCCGACCAGGGUCUAAUUUGGGUUGUCACACAGAUGGCCUGUUUGAGAGAAAAAAAACGAGAUUUGGUUUGGAAGUUGAAUGUUCCACAAAGGAUUCGGCAGUUUCUUUGGUUUUUAUUACAAAAUCGCUACUCUCCAACUCUAAAAGAUGCAGAAGAGGAAUGUCGAAUAAUAAUUACUAUGACUAAUAUUUUAGCUUAUGCAAAAUUAGUUACUAUGGCUAACAGAAGAAGGCGUCAGAUGAUUGAUCAGGAAAGAAAUCGAAUUUGCUGGCAACCACCCCUCAAAGAGUAGUGUAAGCUGAAUACAGAUAGGGCUAAGCACUUACAGACAGAUAGAAACUCAGCUAGCAGUUUGCUUCCAAAUCAUAAAGGUGAAUGGAUUAUUGGGUAUAGUAGAAAUAUUUGUAUUUGUUCUAUAGUUGAAGCAGAACUUUAGGCUAUUAGGGAUGGGUUAGAUAUAGCAUAGAGGAGAGGAAUACAACAACUGUUAGUGGAGAAUGAUAGUUUAGUUCUAGUGAAUACAAUUUGUGGUCAAUCCAAGGAGGUUGGAUCAAACUUAGUGCGAAUCAUCAGAGAACAACUAGUAAGGGAUUGGCACAUUAAGGUAUCAUACACUCCAUGAUCAACAAAUAUGAUUGCAGAUUCUUUGGUAGAGUUAAGCAAGAAUGAUUUGGUUGGUCUAAAAAUUUAUGAAUAUCCUCUUAAUCAAAUUGCUAGGGGUGUGUUACUAGAAAGCAUUGGUGACUGCUACAAGUUUAAUCAUGGCUAGUUGUAAUUCGCUUCUUUAUUUGCCAAAAAAAAUUAUUGUUAAUAGAAUAUAAUUUUGCUUUUUAAUUAAAAUAGUAAAAAUAAUAUAAUUUUAUUUUGAUCCUUUAACACAUGUUAUAUCUUAUGUAGCGAGUCUCAUAGACCUUACAGUAUACUUUGCUAACCUCAAUGUGCAUCCAUAUAGAGCUAAACAUGUAAUAUCCUUAACUCGUAUCUGUUGCCGAAACAGGGUUACAGAGUAUUAUCAAAGUUUACAGAAUAAUUACAAAAAAUAUUCUCAUUUAUUAUUUAUAAUCGAGACUAAUCAUGUUGUCUCUUAAAUGGACCUUCGAGGCCUAAUUUAAGUAUUAUAAGCAAGUUGGGACUAUAUCGAGAACUUAGAAUUUUUUUUUCAAAAUUUCAAAAUUUUUCCUAGGUAUAGGGGUCAAAUGCCUGUGUGGCCAAGGGACACACCCGUGUGGUCCCAUGACAUGCCCGUGCUUCAGGCCGUAUCUUACCCAGUGUAACUCAUUAACUUGGGUUUCACGGCCAACCAUACGCCCGUGUGCUAGGCUGUGUGGCCAAUUUAUUUUCCUAAAAUUAGGUGCAGUUUUCACAUAGUAAAGCCACACACCUGUGUGCUAGGUCGUGUGCCUCACACGGCUGAGACACACGCCCAUGUCUCUGACCGUAUGCUCAAUUCUGAGCAUUCUAUUUCUAAACUUUAAGAUGCAGGGGAUACACGGCCAAAUUACACGCCUAUGUGCAUGGUCGUGCUUCACACAUGGCUGAGACACAAGCCCGUGUCUCUGUCCGUGCGGACGAAAAUAGGCCAUUUAAAGGCCAUUUUUCUCACCAUUUUCACAAUCAACAUGCAUACAACACUCUCAUAUACCAAUGUAACCAAUACAAGCCAAAAAUCAAAUUUUAGACCUAGCAUUUCAUCACACAACUCAUUUGCAUAAACUUUCCACAUUAACUCCAUUCAAUGAUUACUAUAAGCUAUUACUCACUACAUACAUACAAAUAUACAUAUAUGUAUAUGUUUCAUUCUCAACCAUAUUACAAGUUUAAUUUUUUUUAAUUUAACCCUAUACAUGCUAUAUAAACCUUAAGAUGCAUAACAAAAUCUACCAGAGUUAUCUGGAUAGUGUGAACCGAUGGUUGAUUCGAUCCUCCGAACUUCUUGAAAAUCUACAAAGAACAUUGAACAACUAAAGUAAGCUUAAUGAAGCUUAUUAAGUUCGUUGGCUUUAAACAUAAAUCUUACCGAACAUACUAAAACAAUUCAUUUAAGUAAAUCAUUCAAUAUACUAUUCCUGCCAAACACAACGUCAAUCGAUGAAUUCAUUUAUUUCAGAUCAAUAUCAAAAUAAUUUUAAGUCUUCAGACAUUAAUUCCAUAAAUCACUUACCAACCUUAUCAAAUUAGAGAACGUCUUACAUAUAUGAGUACAUCAUAUACAGAAGCCUGAAGGCUGCACAUAAGUGCUAAACAAAAACCCGUAAGGGUUGAACAGAAGCUCAUUGAACAGAAACCCAUAAGGGUUAAACUGGAACUCGAAAGAGCUAAACAGAAACCCAAUAAGGUUAAACUGAAACUCAUACGAGUUAACUGAAACUUAUGUGAGCUAAACAGAAAGCAAACACAGAAGUUCGCAACAAGUACUGAACCUCAGUUUACUUGGGUAAUUUGCUGUCAAUUCUUUUCUUACAUUGAAUGAAUGUACUCAAUCCUGCGUUCUGAUCACUUCGUACUUUCACUUUAAUAUACAUAGUUUAGCAAUAAUUUUAUUUUCAACAAUAAACAUAAAUACCGAUCAUCAAUUAAAUAAAUAACAUUAAAAUUUAAGCAUACGAACUUACCUGGACUAGUUUGUAAAAUUUGUUGUAGCUCAGGAAUUUUUCGAAUAAUUUCUCUUUUCCUCGAUUUUCUUUGGACUCUUAAUCUAUAAUAUAAAAUUAUUCAUUCAUUAGCACAUAUAUUUCAGCCUCAUUCCACUUCACAAUUUAUACCAUUCAAUUUCUAAAAUUACACAUUUACCCCAACUUUUAUAGUUUUUAUAAUUUAGUUCCUCAUCAAUUAACCCAUCAAUUGAGUUAAUUUUUCUCAGUUAACAAGUCAUUCCAUCAUUCUAAGAUAUAUUUCAGCCUUUGAUUCAAAAAAAAUUUAAUAACAAACCUUAAUUCUCAACCUUUUUCACAAUUUAGUCCUAAAAUGAUUAUCUAUCAAAAUUACUUAAUAAAAUCAUCAUAUGGCAAAAUUAAAGCUUCAAAUCUAUGUUAAUUCAUCAUAAACAUGCAACACUCAUCAAUGGUAACUUUCAAAAUUACACAUGAAAUAAAAAAACAAAUGAAACAUAUAGUUGAACCUAGUUGUAAAAGUCUCAAAAACAUAAAAAUUUUAAGAAAUAAACAAAAAUUGAACGUACAUGCAGUAAAAUAUGAAAACUAGCUUCUUAAGGUUUCUUCAAUGGUGUUUUUGGCUGAAGAAAAGUGGAGAUAUCUCUAGAAAUUCAAUUUAGUCCUAUUUUAACUAUUUAAUUUUAAUUUAUUUCCAAUUUUGCCCCUUGUUCACACUAAUUCCUUGAUUUUUUCUGCUUGUGCCGUCCAAACCUUUCACUUUAGGCUAAUUUACCCUUUUAAUCCUCCCUUAUUAAACACUUAAACUAUAUAACCACUUUAGCAAAAUUUUCACCUUUUCAAUUUAGUUCUUUUUAAUUAAUUAACCAUCAAAACGUUAAAUUUACUAAUGAAACUUUAAUACUAACUCAAUAGCACUCCAUAAAUAUUUAUAAAAAUAUUUACGACUCUGUUUAUGAAAUCAAUGUCUCGAUACCUCAUUUUCUACCUAAUUUACAAAUUAAUUCUUUUAAAUCACAAAAUUCACUAAUUCAAGCAUACUUCUAAAAUCACACUUAACUAAUAAAUAUUAAUUUAUUAAAAUUUUAAACUCACUCGUCGAAUUUAGUGAUCUCGAAUCACUGUCUCCAACACCACUGAAAAUUAAACUGUUACAACUCUCCCCCCUUUAGGAAAUUUCGUCCUCGAAAUUUGUUACCUGAGAAUAAAUUCGGAUACUGUGAUCUCAUUGAUUCUUCUGUUUUCGAGGUUGCCUCCUCCGAACCAUGACGCUACCACAAUACUUUAACUAACGGUACUCGUUUAUUUUGUAGUUCUUUAACUUCUUGAGCUAAAAUUUUCAUUGGUUCUUCUGAAUAAAUCAUAUCCAGUUGAAGCUCAAUUUCAGUAUGAGGAAUCAUGUGUGAAGGAUCUGAUUUGUAUCGUCUCAACAUGGAUACAUAAAACACAUUAUGAAUCUUUUCAGGUUCUGGAGGCAGAGCUAACCGAUAAGCUACAGGGCCAAUUCUUUCAAUAACCUCAUACGGUCCAAUAAAUUUUGGACUCAAUUUCCCUUUUCUGCCAAACCGUAAUACUUUCUUCUACAGUGAAACUUUUAAGAACAUUCGACCGCCAACCAUAAAUUUUAUAUCUCUUCUUUUCAAAUCUGUAUAUGAUUUCUGACGGUCGGAAGCUGCUUUCAAACUAUCCUGAAUGAUUCAAACUUUUGCUUCAGUUUCUCGGAUCAAAUCGACUCCAACUAACUUGGAUUCACUCAAUUUAGACCAAUACAAUGGAGUUUUACACUUUCUACUAUAAAGAGCUUCAAAUGGUGCCAUUUUAUACUAGAUUGAUAACUAUUAUUGUAAAUAAAUCCAGCCAAAGGUAAAUAACUUUCCCAGCUAUCUCCAAACUCAAGUACACAACAUCUCAACAUGUCUUCUAAAAUUUGAAUCACUCGCUCUGAUCGCCCAUCAGUCUAAGAAUGAAAUGUUGUGCUGAAAUUUAGCUUGGUACCCUGGGCUUCUUGUAGUUUAUUCUAAAACCUUGAUGUAAACCUCGGAUCUCGAUCUGAAAUAAUAGAUGUUGGAACCUUGUGUAAUCUUACAAUCUCAGACAUAUAUAAUUCUGCUAACUUCUCAAGUGAAAAGUCAAUUCUAACCGGGGUAAAAAUGUGCUGCCUUAGUUAAUCUAUCCACAAUAACCCAAAUCAAAUCUUUCUUUCUUGGAGUCAUAGGCAAUCCAGAUACAAAGUCUAUAGUGACAUACUCUCAUUUCCAUUCAGGAAUCAUGACAGGUUACAACAAACCCUUUGGUACCUGAUGUUCUACUUUGACUUGCUGACAAAUAAGACAUUUUGCAACAAUCUCACAGAUUUCUCGUUUCAUACCAGCCUACCAAUACUUCAUUUUCAAAUCACAAUACAUUUUUGUACUACCCGGAUGAAUAGAAUAUAUGCUAUUGUAAGCUUCAGAAAGAAUAUCAUUUUUCAAACCUGAAUUAUUCGGAACACAAAUUUUGUUGCGAUAAGAUAACAUACUACUAUCAUCAAUGGUAUACUCUAAACUCAAAUUGUCUCGAACCAUCUGUCUUUUCAAUACCAAUUUCGGGUCAUCAUCUUGCAAGUCCCAAAUUCGCUGAAAGAACACAGGUUUUGCUUUCAACUCUGCUAAUACAGAACCAUCUUUAUUAAAAGACAAAUGAGUGUUCAUCGCUCGAAGUGCAAAAAAGAUGAUUUUCGACUAAGUGCAUCUGCAACCAUAUUAGCCUUUCCUGGGUGAUAAUCAAUAACCAAAUCAUAAUCUUUCAACAACUCUAACCACCUUUUCUAUCUUAAGUUCAACUUCUUCUGAGUCAUCAAAUAUUUCAGACUUUUAUGAUCUGUGUAUACAUAACAUUUCUCACCAUAUAAAUAAUGUCUCUAAAUUUUCAAAGCAAACACAAUUGCAGCCAACUCAAGAUCAUGUGUAGGAUAAUUCUUCUCAUGCGGUUUUAACUACUGAGAAGCAUAGACCACUACUUUUCCUGACUGCAUCAACACACAACUCAAACCAUUGAGAGACAUGUCACUGUACAUAACAUACGAAACUCCAUAUUCUGGCUGAGUCAAAACUAGAGCAUCCAUCAAUAUCUUCUUCAACUAAUCAAAGCACUGCUGACAUUCAUCAGACCACACAAAUUCAACAUUCUUCUGUAGUAAUCGGGUCAUCGGUGAAGCAAUCAUCAAAAAAUUCUUAACAAAACGGCGGUAGUAUCCUACUAAUCCUAGAAAACUUCGUACUUCUGUUAUAUUCUUUGGAGUUUUCUAAUUCACCACUACUGAUACUUUACACAGAUCCACACGUAUCCCUUCAGCUGAUACAAUAUAACCCAAAAAUCUAACCUCGUGAAGCCAAAAUUCGUAUUUUCUGAACUUUGCAUAUAACUGCUUUUCUCUCAAAUUCUGUAACACAAUUUUCAAAUGUUAUGCAUGUUUAGAUUCUAUUUUGGAAUAGAUUAGUAUAUCGUCAAUGAAUACAACUACAAAUCUAUCUAAAUAUGGUUGGAAAAUCUGAUUCAUUAAAUCCAUGAAAGCAGCAGGUGCAUUAGUCAAGCCGAAUGGCAUUACUAAAAACUCAUAAUGACUAUACCGAGUUCUGAAAGCAGUCUUUGGCAAAUCACACUCUUUAACUUUCAACUGAUAAUACUUGGAUCUGAGGUUUAUCUUUGAAAAUACUGCAGCACCUUUCAACUGAUCAAACAAAUCAUCAAUACAUGGCAAUGGAUAUUUGUUCUUAAUUUUGACUUUGUUCAGCUGUCUGUAAUCAAUGCAUAGUCUUAAAGAUCCAUCUUUCUUUUUCGCAAAUAAAACAGGUGCACCCUAAGGUGACAUACUCGGUCUGAUGAACCCUUUGUCUAAUAACUCUUGUAACUGUGUCUUCAACUCUUUUAACUCAGCCGGUGCCAUUCUGUAUGAUGUUAUGGAUAUCGAAGCUGUAUCUAGAAUCACAUCAAUCACAAACUCAACUUCACGGUCUAAUGGUAAACUCGGCAAUUCCUUAGGUAACAUAUCAAUAAACUCAUUAACUACUGGUAACUGUUCCAGCUUCGAUUCAGAAUCCCGAGUAUCAAGAAUGUAAGCUAAAAAUAACUCAUUACCUUUCCGCAUUAACCUCUAAGCUGAUAAAGUUGAAAUAAUCCUGACCAUUUCUUCCAGAUUCUCAGAUUCAACAGUAAUCAUUUAACCUGUCUGAUAUUUUAGAUCAAUCCGUUUUUCUUUACAAUUCACUAUAGCAUCAUGCUUCGUCAACCAACCCAUUCCCAAAAUGGCAUCAAAUUCUCGAAAGGGUAGCAACAUUAAAUCAGCAGGGAAUUCACAACCUUUUAUUUUCAGUGGACAAUCACGAAAGACUAGAUUAACUACUACACUUUGGCUUAUUGGAUUAGUAACUUAAACAUCAUAAUCAAUAGGUUCAACAGACAAUUUCUUUUCUAAUGCUACUGCAGUACAAACAUAUGAAUGUGUAGACCCAGGGUCAAUCAAUGCAUAUACAAAAUCAUCAAAAAGAUAGAAAGUACCAGCAAUUACAUCUAGAGCUAUUACUUCUUCUCUAGCUCAAAUAGCAUAUGUAUGUACAGGUGCCCGAGCUUCUGAACGAGCAGCUUUAUCUCUCACAUUCGAACGGGUAGCCCCAGUGGCACUGCUUUGGCCUGAGCAUUUACUUCUUUGAGAAGUGGCUAUUUGCUUUUCUUUUUGUUCAUCUUCCUCUUUUUGCAAUUGAAGACAAUCUCUACUGAAAUGAUCAGUGGCUCCACAUUUAAAACAAGCUCCCACUUUGCUUCUGCAUUCACCUGGAUGAUACUUCCCACAAUAUUUUCUUUUAGACCUUGGACCAUUUUGUACACUACCUACACUAGCUGCAGGUUUAAUAGUUACCCCAAAUUCUUGCUGAGUUGUCUUGUUCUUGUUGGAUCGUUCUGGCAUUGAAGUGGGUCAACUAGAAUCAUCUCUAAAUUUCUUAGCCGAAAAUGUUGAAAAUGAUCUGGAGGAGCUUUUCUUGUAGGAAUCUUUAUUUCUUCUUUCCCGUUGCAUUUUUCUAUUGUACACCUCUUCUAUUUUCUAAGCACAAUCAGACAGACCAACAAAUUCCCUUAUCUCUAUGCCCCCAAUCAUCAUUCUGAUCUCAUCAUUUAACCCUUCCUCGAAUCGAAUAAACAUUUCCUCUUCAGUUGGCACAAUAUCUCGAGCAUAUUUGCUGAGGUAUACAAACUCUCUCUCAUAUUCAGCUACUGACCUUGUCGUAAAUCGAGAAUUCCCUUUUGUUUUUAUCUAGAUACCUCUUACUGACAUAUUUUUUUUAAACUCACUCUGGAAAAAUUCCCAUGUGAUUUUCUCUUCCGGUACCACAACCUUUAUAGUCUCCCACCAACUAUAAGCUUCUUCUUUUAAUAAAGAAACAACACAUCUCAAAUAAUCAUCUAGAGAACAUGUCAUUUUUCUAAAAACUCUUGCUAUAUUCUAGAGCCAAUACUCAGCUUUAACGGAGUCAUCAUCUGAUCUACCUUGAAAUUCCUCAGCCCCAAAUUUUAUGAGCUUUUCUAUCGGAGGAUGCUUACUAGAUUCAGUUACCGGAUAAGGAGGAAGAGCAACUGGGGGUGCUACAGAUGGUGCAGUAGGGGGAGGAGGUUGCUGAGCCUAAUUUCUUUCUAGCAUCAUGUCAUUAAGCCAUUUAUUCAUAACUCCAUAGAUCAUGUUUUUAAGUACCUGUUCUUGCAUUAGAGAAAUUGAGACAUUACUACUUGUCCCUUGUUUAGGUGUUUGUACUCUACUAUUCGCUUCAUCUUGUUCAGUACAUUUAGGUCUAUCUGACCUCUUUUCAAUCUAUAAGAAAAAUAAAAAAUUAGAUCGGAUUAUACACACCACACUAUCACAAAUUUAUAUGGCAUGUAUUUCUAAACACUUUACACAUCACAUUUAUUUUGAGAAUUGGCUAAACCAAAGCUCUAAUACUAAUAAAUGUAAUAUCUCUAACUCUUAUCUGUUGCCGGAACAGGGUUACGGAGUAUUAUCAGAGUUUACAGAAUAAUUACAAAAAAAUUCUUGUCAUUUAUUAUUUAUAAUUGAGACUAAUCAUGUUGCCCCUUAAAUGGACCCUCGAGGCCCAAUUUAAGUAUUAUAAGCAAGUUGGGGCUAAAUCGGGAACUCAAAUUUUUUUUUGUAAAAUUUCAAAAUUUUUCUCAAGUACUGGGGUCACACACCCAUGUGGUCAAGGGACACACCCAUGUGGUUCCAUGACAUUCCCGUGCUUCAGGCCAUGUCUUACCCUGUGUAAUCCCCUGACUUGGGUCACACGACCAACCACACGCCCAUGUGCUAGGCCAUGUGGCCAAUUUAUUUUCCUAAAAUUAGGUGCAAUUUUCACACGGCAAAGCCACACACCCGUGUGCUAGGCCGUGUGCUAGGCCGUGUGCUUCACACGGCUAAGACACACACUCAUGUAUCUGACCGUGUGCUCAAUUCUGAGCAUUCUAUUUCUAAACUUUAAGAUGCAGGGGACACACGGCCAAAUUACACGCCCAUGUGCAUGGCCGUGUGUGACACACGGCUGAGACAUAUGCCCUUGUCUCUGCCGUGUAGAUGAAAAUAGACCAUUUAAAGGCCACUUUUCUCACCCUUUUCACAAUCAACCUGCAUACAACACUCUUAUAUACCAAUAAAACCCAAUCAAGUAACCAAUACAAGCCAAAAAUCAAAUUUUAAACCUAGUAUGUCAUCGCACAACUCAUUUGCAUAAACUUUCCACAUUAACUCUAUUCAUUGAUUACUAUAAGCUAUUACUAAGUACAUACAUACAAACAUACAUAUAUGUAUAUGUGUCAUUCUCAACCAUAUUACAAGUUUACUUCUUUUUUUAAAUUUAACCCUAUACAUGCUAUACAAACCUUAUGAUGCAUAACAAAAUCUACCGGAGUUAUCUAGAUAGAGUGAACCGAUGUGUUGAUCCGAUCUUUCGAACUUCUUGAAAAUCUACAAAGAACAUUGAACAACUAAAGUAAGCUUAAUGAAGCUUAGUAAGUUCGUUGGCUUUAAACAUAAAUCUUACCGAACAUACUAAAACAAUUCAUUUAAGUAAAUCAUUCAAUAUACUAUUCCUGCCAAACACAACUUCAAUCGAUGAAUUCAUUUAUUUCAGAUCAGUAUCAAAAUAAUUUUAAGUCUUCAGACAUUAAUUCCAUAUAUCACUUACCAACCUUGUCAAAUUAUCGAAUGUCUUACGUAUAUGAGUACAUCGUAUACAGAAGCCUGAAGGUUGCACAUAAGUGCCAAAAGAAAACUCGUAAGGGUUGAACAGAAGCUUGUAAAAGCUGAACGGAAACCCAUAAGGGUUAAACUGAAACUCGAAAGAGCUAAAUGAAAACCCAAUAGGGUUAAACUGAAACUCAUACGAGUUAACUAAAGCUUAUGUGAGCUAAAUAGAAAGCAAACACAGAAGUUCAUAACAAAUGCUGAACCUUAGUUUACUUGGGUAAUUUGCUAUCAAUUCUUUUCUUACACUGAACGAAUGUACUCAAUCCUGCGUUCUGAUCACUUCGUACUUUCACUUUAAUAUACAUAGUUUAGCAAUAAUUUUAUUUUCAACAAUAAAUAUAAAUAAUGAUCGUCAAUUAAAUUAAUAACAUUAAAAUUUAAGCAUAUGAACUUACCUGGACUAGUUUGUAAAAUUUGUUGUAGCUCAGGAACUAUUCAGAUAAUUUCUCUUUUCCUCGAUUUUCUUUAGACUCUUGAUCUAUAAUAUAAAAUUAUUCAUUCAUUAGCAGACAUAUUUUAGCCUCAUUCCACUUCACAAUUUAUACCAUUCAAUUUUUGAAAUUACACAUUUACCCCAACUUUUAUAGUUUUUAUUGUUUAGUCCAUCAUCAGUUGAGUUAAUUUUUCUCAGUUACAAGUUAUUCCAUCAUUCUAAGCUAUUUUUCAGCCUUUUAUUCAAAAAAAUCAAUAACAAACCCUAAUUCUCAACCUUUUUCACAAUUUAGUCCUAAAAUCAUUAUCUAUCAAAAUUAUUUAAUAAAAUCAUCAUAUGACAAAAUUAAACUUCAAAUAUAUGUUAAUUCAUCAUAAAAAUACAACACUCAUCAAUGGUAACUUUCAAAAUUACCCAUGAAAUCAAAAAUAAAUCAAACAUACAGUUGGACAUAGCUGUAAAAGUCUCAAAAACAUAAAAAUUUCAAGAAAUAAACAAAAAUUGAACUUACAUGUAGUAAAAUAUGAAAACCAGCUUCUUAAGGUUUCUUCAAUGGUGUUUUUGGCUGAAGAAAAGUGAAGAUAUCUCUAGAAAUACAAUUUAGUGCUAUUUUAACUAUUUAAUUUUGAUUUAUUUCCAAUUUUGCCCCUUGUUCACACUAAUUCCUUGAUUUUUUUUAUUUUUUUUGCUUAUGCCGCACAAACCUUUCACUUUAGGCUAACUUUCCCUUUUACUCCUCCCUCAUUAAACACUUAAAACUAUUUAACCACUUUAGCAAAUUUUGCACCUUUUCAAUUUAGUCCUUUUUAAUUAAUUAACCAUCAAAACGUUAAAAUUUUCUAACGAAACUUUAAUACUAACUCAAUAGCACUCCAUAAAUAUUUAUAAAGAUAUUUACGACUCAGUUUAUGAAAUAAAGUUCUCGAUACCUCAUUUUCUACCCAUUUUACCAAAUAAAUUCUUUUAAAUCAUAAAAUUUGUAACAACCCGAUUUAGACCCUAAUCGGAACGGUGGUUUUGGGACCACAAAUCUGAGUCAGAAAAAUAUUUAAAAAUUAUUUCCAUGUUUAUUUUGUGUGAAUUUAUAUCUGUGAAAUUUUCGUGAUUUAAUUUUAUCGUUUGAGUGCCCGAUUAAAUAAAAGAACUGAAUCGCGUAAAAUGAAAACUUGAUAGUUUAAAGCAUAAGUGUCGAAUUGUUAGUGGCUUUCUAAAUUUGAACAUUUAUGUUGUAAAUAACCCAUUGAAACUUAUAAUGGUCGGUUGUGCCCUUGUUAAAUAUAUUUUAGUUAUUAAAUGGUAAAGGUUAAUUAGGUAAAAUAAUAAUAAGUUAAUAUAUAUGAUAAUUAGAAUAAGCUUUCAUUUUAUUUUCUCUUGACCGAAACCAAAAUAAGAAAUAAAAAGAAAAGAAAACCUAGGUUCCACACUUUCAAGCUUGAUUCAAGGUAAGUUCUAGCUCGGUUUUUGAUAAUUUUUACGUUUUUAAGAUCGUUGCUAAGUUAUCUUCAAGACCCAUGCUUGAAUUUUUGAUUUUGAUGAAUAUUUUGAGUUAUGCCAUUGAUGAGAGCUUGUGAUUUUUGUUGUUUGAUGAUGAAAUAUAAAAGAUAUGUUUUAUAUUAACAUGUUUUGUAUUGGAGUUUUUGAUAAAUUUGAGUAAUUAAGACUAAAUUGCAAAAAUAAUAAUUUGAGGGACUAAAAUUUGAAAUAAAUGAAAUAUAUGAACUUUAUGAAUGCUAGGAAUAUUCGGCCUAACAUGGGCAUAUUGAAAUUUUGCAUAUUUUGUGUUUUGUGCAAUAGGGACUAAAAUUGUAAAAAAGUGUAAAUGUCAGGGGUAAAAUGGUAAUUUGACCAUUUAUGUGUUUUUGGACUAAAUUGAAUAAAAAUAUGUUUGAAUGAACUUAAUUUGAAUAUGUUUAGAUCAAGAACCAAAGAAAUCGGAUUUGGAUGGGGGAAAACGAAAGUUAUCGACUAGCUGUCCCGUUCUAUUUUAUAUCAUCUGAGGUAAGUUUAUAAGCAAAUAGACGUACUUAAUUUUAAUUAAAUGCAAAGUAUAUAUGCUGAAGUGAAAUAUAUGAUUUUAUAUAUGCUAUAGCCAAAUGUGAAUAAGCUUGAUUAUUAUGUUUCCGAAUUCGUUUCGACCGAGUUAUGAUGUCUGAAUGCCCCAUAUGAACCUUAGGAAUAGUUAGGAUACGUAUGUCAUGACAUAGGAUUCCGAUAUAUGUGUACGAGUAAGACCAUAGCAUCGAUAUGUGAUUCCGAUAUAUGUGUGCGAGUAAGACCCUGUCUGGGACAGCGGCAUUGAUAUGUGAUUACAUGUAAGACCACGUCUGGGACGUUGGCAUUGUACAAUAUGUGUGAUUAUCCGAGUAUCCUAUCCAAUUUUGAAUGGUUCAUCGGGCAUCAAUAAGUUGUGAUUGGAAGUGUAAAAUGAGUGGAAACGACCAGGUAUGAAAUAGUUGGCUACCUAACUAAAAUAAGGCAAGUAAGUAAUUUGGUUAUUGUUGUAAAUCAUAUGUGAUGCAAAUAAAGGAUUUAUGUGAUCAUGAUAUAUGUGUUUGGUCUUAUGAAUGAAUGAUAUGAAUAUUAUGGAAUUGGUUUUUGAAUAGGCAUAUACCAGACCAUGUAUAUUCGGCCAUAUAGAUAUGUAUAUAUACAUGAUGUUAUAUUAUGAUUUGAGAUCAAGUAUAUAAGUGUAUGUAUAUUCGAUAUAUAUAUAUAUAUGUUGACAUUUUGGCUUGAAGUUUGAAUGAUAAUUAAUUAUUUGGAUUAUAAUAGCAUUCGGCCAAGUUGGCAUUUAUGAAUAAAUAUAUAUAUGUAUAUAUAAUAUGAACUUUAUAUGUUUGGAUCUAAUUGUGUUAUGAUAAUAUAAUUUGGCUUGGUUUAGCUAAGUUGAUAUUAUCAUUGGGUUGUACAUUUGCUUAUGACUUACUAAGCUAUAAAAAGCUUACUUUGUGUUUAUGUGUGUUUUUGUUUUAUAGAUUUUGGAUCAAGUUAUGAGCUCGGGGAUCGUCAGCAAGAUCAUCACACUAUCUACUAUUUUGGCACCUUAUAAGCUAAACUCGAAUUAUGGCAUGUAUAGGCUAUAUUUGGAGUAAGUUAUUUUGGUAAAGGCAUGUAUAAAAGGCCAUACGAAAAUGGCUUAAUUCCCAUGUUUAAAUUCUGUUAUGCUUGGUUGUGGCUUGAAUUUGUUUUAGUAAUAUUGUUAAGUGCUAUGAAUGAAUGAUGUUCAUGAUAGGUAUUUUAUGUUUUAGUAUUGAUUAAUGAUUUUGGUUGAAUAUAUGGUUGAUUCGUCUAAGAUAUACAUAGGGUAAAAUAUAUGUGAUUGCAGUGGGUAUAUGUGGUCAAUGUAAUAUAUGUGAUUCGGCAUCAUAGACUUGGUUAAGACCGAACAUAACUUAAAUUGUUUUAAUAUGAUUAUUACAUGGCAGGUAAGAUUCGUGUUUUGAUUAUAUGCCUAUUUGUAGUCGAAGCUUUAUUCUUGAGAAGUAUAAAUUGUAAUAUGAGUAGGUUUGGAAAUUUUAUGAUAAAGCAUUAUAAAUAUAUAUGCAUAUGAUAAUGCGACUUGAUUUGUUUUGUACAUGAUAUGAAAGAUUUAAGUUUUGAGUAUGAUUAUGUGUGGGUUGUGUUUUUCAAUGAUAGAAACAAUCCCCUUUAGUUGGUAAGUAUUUUCGGUCAAACUUAUUAGAUCAUGGUUGCAUGCUUGAACUUGGUUAUCAGGGAUAUGCUAUUAAAGUUGAGUUUUAGAUGUCAAAUAGUAAACCAAAGCCUAAGUUGACCGAAUGGUAACAGUUAAUUGGUUAUUGAGUAUGUAAUAUUAGACAUAUUGAUUGGCAUAGCUAAUUAGUGUACUUUUGGGUGGUGUGUCUAUUCAUAAAAUAAUUAAAUUUACUAAGGUCAAAUGUGCAUGAUUUAAUGACCUAGAAUAAAUAUGUAUAGUCUUUUAUGAUUAAUAUUGUUUUUUUUAAAGAAGUAUAUGGUAAUAUAUGGUUAGUGCCGUAUGGAUGUUUAAAAUAUAUAUUUAAAUGCAAAGCAUGCAAAUUCAAAAUUUACCUUGACCCUAGUUGCAUAUGUAAGCAAAUUUUUAUAUAUGUGUAUUAUGGUUUAUUAAAUUAUAAGAAUAUACAUGUGAUAUUUGGUGAUUUAUGCAUAAUUUCAUAAGUGAACUAAUAAUAUGUUUAACCAUGUUGUUAAUGAUUAAUGCUAUAUAUAUAUUUGCAUUAUACGCAGUAAGUAUUAAGUUGAAAUUUGAUAUGACCUGUGUUUACAAUGUGCAAAACAGUAUAUGUUCUGAAAUGUAAGUUACCUACAUUUUAUUUAUUAAUGAGUUUGACUUGGGUGAAAAUUUAUUAAUGAUUGGAUUUGUGCUUUUAAUUGGUAAUGCCUCAUAACCCUAGUCCGGCGACGGAUAUGAGUUAGGGGUGUUGCAAAAUUCACUAAUUCAAGCAUACUUCUAAAACCACACUUAAAUAAUAAAUAUUAAUUUAUUAAAUUUUUAAACUCACUCGUCAGAUUUAGUGAUCUCGAAUCACUGUCUCCGACACCACUAAAAAUUAGGCUGUUACAAAACAUGUGUCUUUCAAUAAAACCAACUACACUGUUAACUUUGGGUUAGCUUGUGAACAUCGACUCGACAAAGUUUAGAAAAGAACAACUCCACUAAGACUAUGUGAGAGCCAUGUGGGAGCCUAUAGUAAUUGAUUACUAGUCACCCUAAAACAUCUCAUCCUAGGACGUAGCAUCACUAUCACUGCCAAGGGUAUCAAAUCAAAAUUCCACGUUAAUUAUCUCAUGACACAUAUUCAAGCUUGUUCCCUACUAUAAAAGAGUCAUUGAAACAACUUGUACGAACUCACAUAGACACUCAUCCUUUCUGACCCCCUGACUAUCUCCAAAACUGAAACCAUUCCCUAACCUUCAUAUCAUUUUUCCCUCUUCAAUCAUCAUCUUCUUCCUCUUGUUUACAUUAUUGGUUAACAAUCGGUACAGUGAGCAUGGACAAACAUGUCAAAUACAGCGUCAAUGAUCCUCCUAACACCAAGUUUGAACCCACCUAUGACUAAGUUAUAGACCCCAUUGUUCGUAACAUAGGAACAAAUAAUGACCAAACUAGAACAACUCAAUACCCAAACUCCUUGCAUGGCAACUAAAACAUAAAUCCACAAACUCAAAUCAACCCUUAAAACCAAAAUUAGCGAAAUUCGUACCAAGAAAACUCAUACUAGCAGUUUUUCCAAUACCCCCAUAGUAUUACAAUAACUAGUAUUGCAUCAUGUCGAAGCAUCACCAAUAGACAAAGGAUCUCAACAUCAACAGUCCGAAAAUCAACAAUAUCUAGACAUGCAAGAGAGGAUAAGAGUUAUGGAGGAGCAAAUGUCUUCCCAACAAAAAAGAUACGAAUAAUAAUAGAAGUUUAUCUAGGAGCAAAUGGAUAGAAAAAAUUGAGUAGACAAAAGAAAUGAAAGAAGUGAAAAGCUCAUCGAAGAGCUAAGAGCAGGUUGGAUGAAUCAUGGCCAAAACUCAAUGCGUGGAAAGGAAGAAUAUGUCCAUUCUAAAAGCGAUCGUCAGUAUUUAGGCCGAGGAAACCAAGAUUUAGUAGAUGAUAUUAUUAUGGAUGAUAGUUAUGAUGAAAAUUGUGAUGAUAGUUAUAGCUACUCUAAUAAAAAUACCUUGCAAUAGAAGCUAGAAAAGUUAGAGAAGCAUCUACAGAAUUUUCAGAAAGUUGAAUCCCCAGGGUUAGAAAGUAUAAAAAUGAGACUUUAGUUGAAAAAAUUCUUUGGCAUCAUUUCUCCCUUACUUUUAAGUUCCCUAAGAUGAUGUAUGAUGGUCGAGGGGAUCCUUAAGACCAUUUGGGUCAUUAUGUAAACCAUAUGAAUAUAUUUGGGGCUUCAGAUGAAGUUAAGAACAUGGAAUUUUCAAUUACAUUAAAAGACUCAACUCAAGCAUGGUAUUUGCAACUGCCGCAACAUUCCAUCAUGAACUUCAAACAGUUGGCUGACCUUUUCAUGAGCAGGUUCUUGUAAAAUAAGACAUUGAAUCACUCUCCUACGUAUCUCAUGUAUAUUAAGCAACGUGAGGAUGAGUCUUUGAGAGAUUUUGUCAAAAGGUUCAACACAACAACAAAGGUCACAAAAGAUGUUUCUGAAGAAUUUGUUGUUCAAGUUUCAUGUCUAGAACAAAUCACCAAUUCUUAAAGUACAAUUUGAUCGAUAAGCCUCCAACUAAUUUGUCAGCUUUACAUGAGAAGGCUCUUAUUAAUCGUAUUGUAUCAUCAAACAUAUAUAUGUAUAUGUGUAUUCAUUCAACCAGUUGAUCACAAAUCACUCAAUCAAGUAUAUAAAUAUUUGUCAAAUACAGUCUUAUUAAUAGUUAAUCAUUCUCAAACAUAUAUAUUUAAUUAUUUAAUGAGAUUGAGUUACGAGAGCACAAACCAAAAUAUCUAUUCAUCGACGACUUUGGAUUCAGGAUGGUCCUGCAUUGUCUUUAGCCAUGUAAUUAAUUCUGAAUACGAAAAAUUCAUUAAUCAUACAAUUCAAUACAUUAUACACACGAAUGCAUUUUAUUCGAUUCAGUCCUUGAAUUCCUAAUAUCUAAAACACUCAUUUGAUCGAAUCUAAAUCUAAAUUAAUAAGUAUAGUAUAGGGACCUCUAACUAUCAUUAUUUAUUAUUAAACCUUAUAAUUUUUAUCAUUUACAUUUUUUUUCCAUAAUAGUACAUAAUUUAUCAAAUUGUUUUGACUCAAUCCAAGCCUAAUUCACUAUCAUCACAUUUUUAUCAUAUUCUUGCUUAAGUUAACUAGCUUCACUCAUGUUAAAGCUUAAACAUUUCAAAUUUUAUUUAAGCUUCAACAAUUGAGAACUAAUUUAAAACUCAUUAAAUCUUUAAUACAACACUUGGGCUUUCAUUAUCUCCACCCACUUAACAUAUAUAUAUAACUAAUUGUUUAAUUAGCUUAAUUAAUCACGAAUUUAAUUAUUCAUUAAUCUUUAUAAUGCUUUGCGGUAAGUGAUGAUACAACCAUUAAUAAAGAAUUAUCAUAUCAUUCAAAAUGGUUUAAUUGUUACUAUAACCUUAGUUUAAUUGUCAUUUAAGGGCAUUCCCCAAAUUAAAAAUCAAUUUUCUUUUAGACCUGAUCAUGGGUCGAGCCAUCCAUUUAGGUCUGAAGACUCGUUUAAAAUGUAAGAGAGUUUGAAUAAAAAUAUAAACUCGAAAAAUGGGUUUGGACAAAAAAUAAGGCUCGUUUUCUAAAUGGGCCGAACCUCGUGUAAGAUUUCUUUUUUGCCCAACCCGACCCGAAUUUGCCUAAAUUUUUUUCAUUUUUGUUUACUACUGUUUUGUUGUUUGCUAUUGUUUUGUUAUUGUUUUGCUACCAUUUUGCUAUUAUAUUGCUAUUAUUUUAUUGUUAUUGUUUGGAUAUUGUAUAACUCUUGUUUUAUUAUUAAUUUUGCUACUAUUUUAGAGGCAUUUGCUUGCUAAGUUGCAAUGAUCUUAGUGUUAUUUAAGUAUAAAGACUUCUUUUAAAAUUAUUUUCAAUUUGUUAGGAAACAUUUAUUUUAAUAUUUUUAGUAUAUUUGAUGUAUUAUAUUUUUAAAUUUAUUUUUAUAUAAAAAAUAAAACAAAAUUUUAACACCGACAGGUUGGGCUCAGGUUUAGUAUUUUUAUCUGGAUCGAGCUUGGGGCAAAAUUUUAGGCCCAUUUUUCUGGUCGGGUCAAGCCCAAGCCUAGAAUAUGGAUCUAAAAUUUUGCAUUGGCCCGACGCAACCCAUGAUCAGGUUUAUUUAAAUCACUAAUUAAUUAAGUUCCUAUACUAUUUUUAGUAAUUGUUUUAAUUCAAUCACUCAUUAAUUUGACCUAUACGAACUAUAAUUGACACAUAAUUAUUCUAUUUUAAUUAUUUACCAACUCAACUCGAUUAAUUUGAUUUGAAACUGAAUUUUACGACACCAUUGAAAUCGAAUCGUUACAAAAGUUUUCAUUUUUCCCUUUGUACUUUCUUAUAUAUAUAUAGAUAUAUAUGUGAUAAGGUUAUAUGUCAAAAAAUCCCUUAAGAAAACACAAAAAAAUAAUUAAGCCCAUAUAUUAAAUUCGCACCUAAUUAAGCCCAUAUCGUUAAUUAAAAUAAUCAAUUAACCCCUCUGUUAAUUGUGCCUGUCAUUGGCCACGUUGACUGUUGAAAUAAAUUGAUGGACUAAUCAGAUGGUGACACAUGACAACUUCUGGUUUGAUAUAAUAUUUUUCCCAUAAAAAAUAAUUAAAAAUCAUAAAAAUAUUAAAAUUGAUAUAAACUUAUUAAAAUUAUAAAAAAAACUUAUAAAUAUUAUAAAUUAUAAUAAAUUAUAAAAAAAUAUAAAUUAAUAAAAAUUAUUUAAAAUCUUUAAAAUAAAAUAAAAAACGUAUUAGAAAUCUUGAAAUAUUAUAAAAAAUUAUAAAAAAGAAUUAAAAAUAUUAAAAUUGAUAUAAACUUAUAAAAAUUAUAUAAGAAAUCAUAAAAACUUGAACUGGAACGGUUAGUCAAAAUUGGCAAGGGUACCAGUCUGAGGAAAGUCAUUAUACCAGUUGACCUAAGAUUUGAACAGUUGAACCAAUUUUUUUAUUUUUUAAUAUUUUUAUUAAACGGAAAUCUUAUUAUCCAACUAUUAAUAUAUGUCAAAAUGAAAUAUUCUAACUAAGGAUUUUAGAAUUGGACUAGUGGUCAAAUUGAUUAGAUCACCGGUUUGCUAGUUCAAUUGACCUGUCCAAUUCAAUUCAAUAAAACAGUAAAAAAUUAGUUCAACCAUUCAGUUCCUAGGUCAACUGGUUUAAUGGCUUUCUUCGGACCGGUACCGUUAUCAAUUUUGAUCCAAUCGACUAAUUCGGUCCAGUUGAAGUUUUUAUGAUUUUUUUAUAAAUUUUAUAACUUUAUAUCAAUUUUAAUACUUUUUAUCAUUUUUAACUUUUUCAAAAUAAUUUUUAUGAUUUGUAUGGUUUUUUUAUAGAAUUUUAAUAAGUUUUUAUAAAAUCAUAAUUAUGUUUUAUCAAUUUUAUAAUUUUUGUAAUUUAUUUAUAUAUUUUUAUAAUUUUUAUAAAUUAAUAUCAAUUUUUAUAUUUUUUAAUAUUUAAUAAUUUUUAUAUUUCUAGAUAAAUUUUUUAUAAUUUUAUGAAAAAUAUUAAAUUAAACUAGAAAAUGUCAUGUGUCAUUAUCUAAUUGAUUUGUUAAUUUAUUUUAACAAUUAAUAUGGUAAAUAAUAAAAAUUAUUAAUUUAAUUAAUGAGAAGGAGAUAGAGUGCAAAUUUAAUAAAAGGUUGAAUUGAUUUUUUUAUAUUUUCUUUUUGGUCAUAUAAACACUUGUACGUAACUUAUUUUAUUAUAUAUUGUUUUACUUAUUGGGAUAUUGUGGGGCAUGUUGAAAUCCUUGUCACGUGAGCACGGCCGAUGUGACUUAGCAGCCCAAAUUCGAUGCGAUAAUAUGGUUGGUGGAAGAAAUUAUAGACUUUGUAAUACUUGCAGUGCUAUCUGAGCUUUUCCCAAAUCCAACCACUACACUUGAGUCAUGAUUUAACACCUUUCUGCAUUUUUUUAGGAUAUUUCAUUUUUUUUUCUCUCUUUAGUCUUGAUUUUGUUUUUGUUUUUGAUACUAAUAAUAAAAAAAGAAAACUAGCAUAUGCCAAGAAUAAGAUGAUAGUAACUAAUUCCAACUGAUUAAAUUCUCAUAGUUUACAUUUUUGGAUUAAAAUUUUCAAAUUUUUAUUUUAAUAAUUAAAUUUUAUAUUUAAAAUCUCACACUACUUUCAUUUUCUAUGGAGCAAGGGAAGGUUGACUAAACACAAGUAUGAUUGCCAGCCAGCCGCCGUAACUUUCUCAAUUCUUCGCGCAAACCUUUAUUUUUGUUUUGAGAAUUAAUUUUGUCAUUAAAUUACAAAUAAUAUACAGAAUUUAGAAGUAUUCUUGAGUUUCAGCACAAUCAGUGAGUCACCUUUUUAUCUUUUUCUUUUCACAAACCUCCUCUUUACUUUUAUUUAACUAAUAUUUAUGGUAGUAUUCGAAAUUGAUAAUUUUACAAAAAAAAAACAUUUUUUUAAAACUAUAAAUUUGGGAUUUUUAUUUUUAUUUAACGUCCAUAAUGAAUCUGACUUUUUCUGAUUUUUUAAAUCAUUUUAUAUUUUUAUAAUUUAAAAAAUAAUAAUAUAAGAAUUGUUUUUGAAAAUAAAUUCUUGUAUUGUAUAAAGUUUUCAAUUUUUAAUUUUUUGAAAUUUUCUUGCUUUUUAUUUUUUAUUUAAUAUGCAUAAUAAAUUUUUACAAAUAAUUAUCCAAAUUCAUUUAGAUUUGAACAACUAUUGAUCUAGAUUUAUUCUGAAUAUAUACUUUUCGAGUCAUUUUAUUUUUUUAUAAUUUCAAAAAAUAAUGAUAUAAAAAUAAUUUCCAAUUUUUUAUAAUCUAACUUUUAAUUCUUACAACAAACUUAAGGUUUUUUUUUUAUAGGUUUAUAAAAAUUCCUCUAAAAAAAUCAAUAAUUAAUUCAACCAUCAAUAAAAAACAACACUUAAUUAAGCCCUCAAUCAAAUUUAAGAUAUCAUUUAAACCUUCGAACCUCAACUUUCUAUGGAAGUCCUUUAUGGUUGUUAACAUCGCCACAUGACACAUUAAGAUUGUGUCACAUGACAAAAUUUGGUAAUUUUUAUUAUAAUUUUUUUUAAAAAAAUAUCACUAGAAAUAUAAAAAAAUUAGAAAUUUUAAUUUUUUAAAAUGUAAAAUUUUUAAAAAUUAUAAAAAUGAAAAAUAUUAAAAUGUUAUAAUUUAUUAAAAAUAAUAUAAAAUUAUAAAAUCAAUUACCAUGCAUUUCAAUUUCGGGUAGACGAAGAUGACUUGAUAGUACAUUUGGUAAAUUGGUAAUUGAAUAAUCAAGCAUCUCUUUCAACAUUAACAAACUUGAGUUUAAUUAAAAGAUACAAUAAACAUAAAAAGGCAGCAACCAGCAAUAGAAGGAAACACGGCACGAUAAUCUCAAACAACACGAAGAUGAGACCUAAGAUGGAUUAAUGUUAUGCUUCUAUGGAGUCUUAUGGAGACCAUCUCCAAACUAACUCUGAAGAUGGAAUUUAACAAUGUCGAAAAGAUCAUCAUCUUUCUCAUUACUAUUUAUGGAACCAAACACCAGAGUAGGAUUUGCCCCCGACAAGGAGCCAGUAAUAGUCGAAACUCCUAAAUAUUAAUAAAAAUAAAAUAAAAUAAAGCAGAGUAAGUAAAUUUAGGAGUAAAAUUAACUAACAAAGAAGCAAUACUAUUUUUUUUUAUUGUACCAUGAUAAAAACAUGAAAUUUUGUUACCAAUUGCAAUAAACAAGAUGAACCAACAUGAUGUAUGCAAACAAGAACCAAUAUGAUGAUUACCUUGUCAUGUAAUCAAUACUGAAAUUAACCAACAUAAAAGACCCCCCAAAAUAGAAAAACAUGUAAUUUCUUUGCCCAGUGGAGGGGGUAAUUAAAGAAAAUACAAUAAUCAAGAUAAACCAAAGCAAUAAAUGCAAAAUGCUCAAUUUAUUACCCGCAGCAAGGUCUCUGUUGCAAAGGUUAUUGUGAUUGUUCAUGGCACCAUACUCAGGCAAGUUAUGAUUUGCACCCAAGGAAGAGCCAGCAGCAGAACUAAUCCAAACUACAAUGCCAGUUACAGGUUGUUAAUAGUAGUCAGUUUAGUAAGUUAGCCUAGUUUUCAGUUACAAUCUUUGUAAACCUGAGGUAUUACAAGCUAAGUUAAUGAAUUACGUGAAGAACUCGCUCAGUUCUUCACAAACUCCUAAAUUAACAAGUAAAUUAGAAAGGCUUGAGAAGACCUUGUAAUCAAGAGUAAAAUUCACCAACACAAAACCAAAAAAAAAAAAAACUUUAAUACCAUAAAAAACAUGUAAAUCCUAUGCCAGUUGUUGGAGGAAAAGAGUGAGAAGUAAAUGAGAUGAACCAAAAUUUAUGCUGAUGAAUGCAAACCUGCAGCAGAGGAGACAGCAUGAUUUGCAGUAUAUGCGGGACCAGCAGCAGUAGAGGCAGCAACGUUGGUAUAGUCCUGGCCUGGGAACAUGUUACAAGUCUAUUAAUACAAAAUACCAAGCAAUGUAAUCAAGGCGUGGCUCAAGGGUUAUAUAAUUACCAAAACACAUUUGCUGAUCACAAUCAACCAUCGAAGCUUGAAAGUCGAUUGUUGGAACCGGUACUGAUCCCACCAAUCUAUUAACAUUCUGUAAACCAGUUCCAGAGGCUCUUGAAACUUGACCACCUCCCGCAUAAUUCUGCGAUGCAAACCAUUUUACUGCCUGCAACAAAGAAUUGAGUUCAGCACUCAAUUGAUGAAGAUGGGAUAAUCGGAAAUUAUCAUAUACAACGUAAUUAGAGAAUACCUGGUCAAAAGAACCAAAGUUAUGCCCCUGCAAUCGAAGAGAAAUACAUUAUUCAUCUUCAUCUCUUUGAAUAAAAUAUAACAUGGAUUUGACCAAAUGUUGGGUAUAAGCAGCAGAUCUUUUGUAAGAAAAAGAGAGAAACGGUUAAUACUAUACAAAUUUCCGUACAUGGUAUGCCAUCAAAUGAAUGAAGAGUUGCUUCAUCAAUUCCUCGCUUGCUUUCUGAAAAACACAAUUAUCAUAUAAACAAAAAUGCUUAUGCUUGCGAAAAAAAAAGCAUAAAUCAUUAUUCUUCCUAGUAAUUUAGGAAGUUUUAGGAGAGCUAAAGGUUUCCAUGAUCCAAAAUAAUCCUCAUAUAUAGUAUAUCCAAGAUCGUGAUAAAUAAAUUUUAUGAAAUUUAUGUAUAGUUCCACUGUUAAUUGUUUGCUAAUUUCAGUAUUCCAUUGUUGUGUUGGAACAGAGAUGAUGUUUUUCAACUUUUCAAAAGAGCACAAUGUUGUCGUUUAACCUUCGCAAAAACCAUAUUAGGUUUAAAGGAGAGAGAAAUAGGGAGUGCAAAACCUGUUCCACAAUAGUUCUCCUAAGUUGUUGGAGCUCAAGCUCUGUGUUAGAUUUGUAAUUCUCAAACUCCAUUUUCAUAUUCCGGGAUUCAGUCUUCAACAUUGGGAUCUCUCGUUCAAGUUGCUCACGCUUCGUCUUAGUUAUAAAAACACCAAGCAAACAUUAAUUAAAGACUUCAAAAAAAUAAACAAAGUAAUUGAUGAUGGCUUAAUAUCAAUGUACUUUGAUUCUCUGUCGAGACUCUCUACAGAUUGCAGCAUGUCUAGCCCUUCUCUCCUUCUCAGAUUUGGUACCUCUUUGUUUGGCCUCUGUAUUCAUUGGAAAAGCGCACAGUUUUCUUCAAAUCAACUCCUCUGGAAAACGAAUGGUAAAAUGUGGCCUCAUGUGCUUCACCUUAUAGACAGCUGAAGGUUCCAUUCUAACAUUGGCGGCCAUCUUGAUUCUACCUUUUCCCGCGCGCGACUACUUCAGAUAAGACUAUGGAAUCUUAGAGUGGGAAAAAUAAGUCAAGUGUGAGGUUGAAGGCGAUAGGUUAUCCGGCCAAAUUUUAAUUUAAUUAAUGUUUGCUUGGUGUUUUCUUAACCGACGUCCAUAAUUGGGAAAAGAAUUGUAGGAAAAAGUGAAUUUAUGAUAUCUGUAUUCUUUUUUAAUAGUUUUAUGUCAUAUUAAUAUUUUUAUAUUAAAUUUUAGCAUUUUUAUUUUGAAUAAAAUCAAAUCUAAAUUAAAAUUUUGAUAUUCAAGAUAAAAUUACUGAUGUAACAUAAAAUUAUUAAAAGAAAAUAAUAUCCAUAUUCCAUAUAAUACUUUCUCCUAAAACGGAGUUUGACCUCGUAUAACUUAAGAGAAUAUGAUAUCUGGCACAAAUUUUGCACUCCCAAUUUCUCUGUCCUUUAAAGCUAAUAUGGUUUCAUUUGUCUUUAGUACAAAGACUAAUAUGGUUUCAUAAUAAUGAAGAUGAUGUUAAAAUAUGCCUCUAUUCUUAGUAAAUUUAAAUUUAAGUCUUUAUGCUUUUAUUUUUAAGAAAUUAAUCUCAUUGUUUUUUAGAUUUUAAAAUUUAAAUUUAAUUAUUAAAAUAUUAUUUUUUAUUAAAUUUAUUAAUAUGGUAUUUUGAAAUAAAAAAACUCAUUUGAUAACUAAAAAAAUGAUGUUGCAAUGAAUUUAAAUUUAACAAAUUAAUUUUAAUAGUACUAACAAUUGAAUUUGAAUUUAAAAAUAUAAAAUGUAAAAUAACUAAAUUAUUAAAAAUAAAAAUACAACAAUUAAAUUUUAAAUUUGUGAAAAGUAAUAAAAUUUAGUGGAUGUUUUAACUUUUUUAAAAAAUAAGCUUAAACCAUCAUAAACUAAUUUUUUUUGCCCGUUGGAUACACGAGUUAAUUAUAUAAAUUAAAACAUUUUAUAAGAUGACAAAAAAACAUUUAAAUAUGGUAAUUUAAAAGUGUUAAGAAAUCAUAAAUAUAAUGAUUGAUGUAUAACUUUAAUUUCUACUAAUGUGUUCACACUAUUUAAAGGCAUGUUUAAGUAGCCUAUCAACAUCAACACUGUGAGAGUUAAAAAGUGUUUUUUUUUUCGCGAAAGAUAAAAACACUUUUAUAUAAUUUUUGUCUUUUUUUUUGAAAAGUUAACACUGAAAUUGGUAACCAAUUAACACUGGAAUUGUACAUAAAUUUUAUAAAAUCUUGUCUUAUUUUAAGAAGAAAAAGUAGCCAUCAUCAAUUUCUUUGUUUAUUUUUUUAAUAUCUUUAAUGAAUGUUUGCUUUGUGUUUUUAAUAUUUUACCAUUUAAUUGAUCCCGUGUUGGUUUAAUAGUCAGUAUUUUUAUCAUUUUAAGUAUGAUUUGGGAUCGAGUUGCACUAAUUGUAUUACUGUUGGGGCUUUGUCAUCCUCUUAUAAUUAAUAAUUUUUGUAUGUUAGAAUAUGUUGAAAGAGAUGUUUGAUUAUUUAAUUAGAAAUUUUUGUAUUGUUAUUAUCAACCUAAAUUUGAUUCAGAACUAUUACUUUUUAAUUUCAAAAUUCUUGGGACUUUGAUUUUGUUUUAAUUGAUUUUAAUUAGCUUUGAGCUUUUAACAUUGGGCUUUUGGUUGGUAGUCAAAAAAAUAAAUAAAUAUCGGCAUGUUUAGCCCUGUCAGCUUGACUUUGCUGUUUCCCUGAUUUGGUACCUCUUUGUUUGGCCUCUGUGUUCAUUGUAAAGCGCCCAUGUUUCUUCUGGAAAAUGAAUGGUAAAAUGUGACCCCAUGUGUUUCACCUUAUAGACAGCUGAAGGUUUCAUUUUAACGUUGGUAGCCAUCUCCAUCUAUUUUCUCCACAACAUUGGCCACUUUUCCAGCGCGCGACUACUUCUGAUAACACUGCCAUAUUGUGAGUGUUGCAUCAAAUAUUUUUUACAUCCAUUUGACAAAAUUAAGGGACCCUAUUUUAAUUAACUUUUAUAUUAACCUCGUAAAGAUUAUUAGGGUUUCAAAAUCAUCAUUUCUACACUAUUGAGAAAAAGUAUUAUUAUAAAAACAAUAAAUAUUAUUUAAUUUUUUAAAAAUUAUUAAAAACUAUAAAAAAUUAUUAAAAAUUUGUAAAUAAUUAACAAAAUAAGUUUUUCUUCUUCAAUUUUCUCUACAAAUUCCAAAAGAAUACAAGGCGAUUUCUAUGUUGUCAUCUACUUUUUUGUCUUGAUUUAUUUGGGCAUUACUGUUUUCAAAUUUGCAAUCUCGAAAUAGUAUCAACAUAUGAUUCGAUUAAAAAAAUUGUAAAAAUUAUUCAAAAAUUGUGAAUUUUUGAUUAAAUGCCACUAAAUUCACAAUUUUUAAAUAAUUUUUAUAAUUUUUAAUAAUUUUUUGAAAUUUUUAAAUAAUGGUUUAUAAUUUUUAAUAAAUUUUUAUAAUUUUAAAAUAUUUUAAACUAUAUUUAAUAAUUAUUUACUAUAUUUAAUAUUUUUAAAAAAAUUUAAUAUUUUAAUAAUUUGCAAUUUUUCUAUAAUUUUUAAAUAUAUUUUUUAUGAUUUUUAAUAAUUUUUUUUAUAAUUUUUUUUGGUCUGGUCAAUGUAAUCAACGCAUGGUCAAUGCGGUCAAUGGCCAUGGUAUCGUUCACGUUAGCAGUAAACAAGGACAUGUGGUGUGUUUUGAUUGAUUGUUUUUUUAACACUGUUAACAAUAGGGGCCAAAAAGUGUAACAAAAUUAUAAUUUAGGUACUGAUUUGGGAAAAUGAGUAUAGUUCAGGGACCAAAGAGUGAACAAAGCGUAAAUAAUUUUUAAAAUAUUGAUAAACUUGAAACAAAAUACUGAAACAGACUAAUAUCGAUGCGUGCCAAUUCCAAUAAAAAAGCAAUGUAUCUACCAAUAUGAUAUUAACUACCUUUAUUAAAAAUAGUAAUCAUGAAAAUAAACCCAAUUCACCAAAUAUAACAAAAUAACUAGACAUCAAGGUUUAGGAUUUAUACUAACAACUUAACUAAAUGAAAUAAAGGGUCCAGAGGUCUAAGAAGAAUGGGAUUGGGUCACAUUUUUCGAUUUUCUCUUCCUUUUUAACCCCUAUGGCAUGCAAAUUUAAAUCGAGUUUGACUUGAACCAAAUAUGAAUGAAAAUUGAUAAUUAACCAUACAAUUCAUUGUCGACUUAAUCAUCAAGACGAAGAUGACUUGAUAGUACAUCUGGUAAAUUGGAAUUGAAUAAUCAAGCAUCUCUUACAACAUAAACAAACUCACCAUCAACAUAAAAAGGCAGCAACCAGCAAUAGAAGGAAACACGGCAUCAUCUCCAAACUAACUCUGAAGAUGGAAUUUAACAAAGCUGAAAAGAUCAUCAUCUUUCUCAUUAUUAUUUGUGGAACCAAACACCAGAGUAGGAUUUGCACCUGACGAGGAGCCAGUAAUAGUCGAAACUCGUAAAUUAUUAACCAAAAAAUAAAGAGGGUAAGUAGAUUUAAGGGUAAAAUUAACUAACAAAGAAGCAAUAAACAAGAUGAACCAAUAUGAUGUAACAAUAACCAAUAUGAUGAUUACCUUGAUUAGUGAAAUUAACCAACAUAAAAGACCAAAAAAAAAAAAAACAAAAAAAAAAGAUGUAAUUUAUUUGCCCAAUGGAGGGGGAAUUAAAGAAAAUACAAUGAACAAGAUAAAUCAAAGUGACAACUACAAAACACAAUAUAAACACGUAAACCUGAUGUAUUACAAGCUAAGUUAAUGAAACUACUUGAAGAAUUCUCUCAGUUCUUCACAAACUCCUAAAUUAACAAGUAAAUUUAGAAAGACUUGAGAAGACCUUUAAUCGAGAGUAAAAUUCACCAACACAAAAAAAAAAAAAAAACUUUAAUAUGUCAAUUGUUGGGGAACAAGAGUGAGAAGUGAAUGAGCUGAACCAAAUAUAUGCUGAUGAAUGCAAACCUGCAGCAGAGGAGGCAGCAUGAUCAGCAGUAUAUGCGGGAGCAGCAGCAAUAAAGGCAGCAAUGUUGGCGUUGUCCUGGCCUGCGAACAUGUUACAAGUCUAUUAAUACAAACACCGAGCGAUGUAAUCAAGGCGUGGCUCAUGGAUUAUAUAAUUACCAAAAUACAUUUGCUGAUCAAAGUUAACCAUGGAAGGUUGAAAGUUGAUCGUCGGAACCGGUAUUGAUCCCACCAACCCGUUAACAUUCUGUAAACCAGUUCCAGAAGCUCUUGAAACUUGACCAUCUCCCGCAUAAUUCUGCGACGCAAACCAUUCUACGGCCUGCAACAAAGAAUUGAGUUCAGCACUCAAUAGAAGAAGAUGGGAUAAUCGGAAAUUAUUCUAUACAACGUAGUUAGAAUACCUGGUCAAAAGAAGUAAAGUUAUGCCCCUGCAAUUGAAGAGAAAUGUAUUAUUCAUCUGAAUAAAAAAAUACCAUGGAUUUAUCAAAAAUAGAUUUUUAACAAAAUUUAUAAGCGACAGAGAAAAGGUUAAUACUAAACAAAUUUCCGUACAUGGAAGGCCAUCAAUGCAACGGCGAUUUGCCUCGUCCAUUCCAACUCUUCUUUCUGAAAAACACAAUUAUCAUAACAACAAAAAGGGUUUUAUUAUGCUUAUGGGAAAAGCACAAAUCAUUAUUCUUCCUAGUAAUUUAGGAAGUUUUAGGAGACUUGAAGGUUUCCAUGAUCCAAAAUAAUCCUCAUAUAUGGUAUAUCCUAGACCAACUAUAUGAUUCAAACUAAUUUAUGAUUGUUUAAGCUAAGUUUUAUUACUGUAAUGAAACCAUAUUAGUGUAAAAAGAGAGAAGAAUGGGCAGUGGUGAACCAUAGUGUGAAGGUCUAUACUGAGUAUUUGGUUAUCCUCUUCCAAAGAUUGGAGCUUUUCAUUGCACUCGAUCCCCUUUUUAGCUUGGUACUGCAGCUCAGUUUUGAUCGUCUUGUGAUCAGCUUGCAACUUUAAGAACUCUUGAUCUCGGUCCUUAUGCAUCGUCUUUAGUUAUAAAAGACACGAAACAAGGAUUAAUUAUUUAACUGAUUAAAGAGAUAAAUGAAGGGAAAAAAAGAAAUUGAUGAUAGGUUAAUUAAUUACUGUACUUUCAUUUUCAGUCGAGACCGUAUACAGCUCUCAUUAUGGCUUUCCUUCUCAGCUUGAGUUUUCUGUUUCCCAGAUUUGGUACCGCGUCGUUUGGGUAGGGUUUUGGCCUUAGUCUCCAUUGUACCCUCCAUUUCUGCCGGAUCAAGGCCUCUAGAUAAGAACAAAAUGAAGAAAAAAAGAAAUUGAUGAUAUGAAUUUUAGAAGAUGAAAAAAAAAAAAGUGCAUAUUCCCCGGCUUCACUUUAUACACUACCAUUGCCUCUCAAUGUUAGCAUUGCUGGCAUCAGUUCACUGUAGAUUUAGUCGGCGGGUUCGCGCGACUUCGGCUAUUUUCCCUGCAUAAUCGCACGACCUCGACUGGAUAUCCAUCUCCACCACUCAUUUGAGAGUUUCCAUGGGACAUUUUUUGUCUUUGAAAGGCAAACUAACUGGGAUAACCCACAACUUGUGUGUAAUAUGAGACUCGAAUUUAGUAUCUCAACGAUCCCAGAGGUGAACCCAGAACUCCACCGUUACUACUGCCAUUGACUGUAUUUUAUAUGAAUUGAAUAAGAUACCAUCACCUUCGAAGCUUCAAUUUUAUAUUUCUUUAUAAAUAUAAUUUUAUUCAUACAAGUUAGAAAAAGAUAUUAAGUCUUUCCUCAUUCAACAAAUGUAUAAGAAGUUAUUUUUGUAGCAGCAACUUUAAAAUGAGAAUCAAAGAGAAUUAAAAUGAAUAAUCUAAACCUUCCAUUUAGAAUUUAAUCUAAUUUAUUAAAAUAAAAAAACCACAACACCUAAUCUUUCCUUUUUUUACUUUUCACCAUGAUUUUAGGUUCAAAAAUUUUCAAUUUUCUCUUUCAUUCAUAUUUAGCUUCUUUUUGAAGAAAAAGAAAUUUAUAAUAGAAAUGAAAAACAAGAGAUUAAAGUUAUUAACAUUAAAUAAUUUGAUUAUUUCAUAUUUGUCUUCUCUAAAAAAAUUACAGAGCAUUUCACUCUUAAAAUUUUGAUUUUUUUUUCUUAAUUGAUAACAAAAGCUCAAGCAUAUCAAAUGAAAAGUGAGGUAAAUUUCAAGUAUAUCAUAGGACUAAGCAUUUCAUUUUAAAAGUUUUGAAUCUUUUUUCACUCUAAAACUUGUAUUGUGCUCUUUAUUAAGAAAAAAAAAGUAUUGUGCUCUUUAUUUUAAUGAAAUAAAUUAAAUUGGUUUAAAUUUAAUUUUUUUUAUCUAAGGGUUAAAAACAUAGUUAUCGUUAUUUUUAUUUUAAAUUUUUUUUAUCAUAGUUGUCAACUCUUUUUUCUCUUCAUAAUUUUCUUUCCAUGGAAAAGUGCUUGAGUGAAUUUUAUGGUUUUUUAAUUUUUUAAGUUUUAAAAUUUACAUAUUUAAAUAAAAAUUAAAGUUGGAUUAAAUUUUUUAUGUUUUGUAAUUUAAUUUAAAAUUUCGCAAACCAAAUCCUUUACGUCUUUUUAGGUAAUUUUUUUAAAAAUAGAAUUAGCAUUUGUGGACAUUUCGUUUAUUAUUGUAAUUUUUUUUUAAUAUUCAAUUCUUGUUCUCUCUUGGGUCUUGACUAGACCUAUUCAUGAGUCAAGCCAUCCAACUUGGCUCGAAGGUCCGUCUGAAAAGUGGGAGGUUUAAGUAAAAUUAUAGGUCCAAAAAUGAGUUUGGACAAAAAAAUAAGACCCGUUUAAAAAAUGAGUCAAGCCUUAGGUAAGGAUUUUUUGCUUGGGCCCGGCCCAAAUUCACAAAAUGACAAAAAAAAACUCUUAUUUUUUUGUUGUUUUAAUAUUAUUUUCUUGUUAUUUUUCCCUAUUUUGUUACUAUUUCACUAUUAUGUUAUUAAUUAUUUGUUGUUAUUAUUUAAAUAUUGUAUAACACUUGUUUUAUUGUUAAUUUUAUUAUUAUUUUAGAGGCAUUUACUUGUUAAGUUGCAUUUAUCUUAGUGUUAUUUAAGUAUACAUAUUUUUUUAAAUUUUAUUCUCAAUUUGUUAGGAAAUAUUUAUUUCAAUGUUUUUAGUAUUUUUAUCUCUUAUAUAUAUAUUUAAAAAUUAUAUAAAAAUAAUAUAAUCAAAAUUAAUACAAGUGGGCCGGGCAAAACCCGGGUUUUAGCAUUUUUAUCCUGGUCGGGAUUGGGCAAAAUUUUAGGUCUAUUUUUUCGGGUUGAUUCAGGCUCGGUCCUAGCAAACAGGCCUAAAUUUUUUGUUGGACCUGGCCCAUGAGCACCUCUAGUCUUGAUGUAACAGCCCAAUUUUGGGUCAAGUCGGAACAGUGGUUUCGGGGCUACAAAUUCGACGUAAGGAAAUUUAUUUUUAUUAUAUUUUUUGGUCUACAAUUUCACGAAAUGAUUUCAUGCAAAUCUCGCUUGAAAAUUUCGACGUUUGGGCACUCAAUUUAGUCAAAAGGACUAAAUUAUAAAAAGUGAAAAACUUGAGUUCUAGAAGCUAGACGUAUCAAAUUGCUAUGAAAUUUUAAAUUGGAGCUCCUUAAAUGGUAAUUAGACCAUUGGUUAAUUUUUUGGACAAAAAAGGACACGAAAUGGGUGAAAUAGAAUAUUUUUAAGUUAGGGGCAUUUUGGUUAUUUAGUAAUCAAAACAAUAAAAAGGGAAAACAAACUAAAAAAUUUGUCCAUCUUCUACCUCCCUUGGUCGAAUAUGCCAUAGACACCAUGGCUAGGGUUUUAUUCAAGCUUCCAAGCUCCAUAGUGAGUGCAUCCUAGCCCCGUUUUUAAUGCUCUUUACGUUUUUUAAACCCUCAUAACCCGAUUUGCCUAUUUCUAGCCAUAUUUUGAAGUAGGGUUCAUAUUUAAAAUUUGACCCAUGUAUGACAUGCAUGUGUUUUGAUGUUUAAUGGAAGAAUAUGAAUGUUUGAGGUGUGAUAAACAUCUUUUACUAAGUGUUUUAUAGUGAAAAUGACUAAAAAGAACUUAUUUGCAAAGUUUUUAAAAUGAGUACUAAGAUGUAUGAUUUGAUGAGAAAUGUGUAACACCCCUUACCUGUGUCUAACGCCAGGAUGGAUACAGGGCAUUAUCGAACUAAAACAUAAACAUACACAUAGAACCGAGCCAUAAAAUUUCUUUGCAAUACAAACUGUACAUACACAUGCAACUCGUCCCUAUUACGGGCCUACAAGGCCCAAAUCAUAUAUCGGGGGGUGGUUCGGGACCAUAUCGUGAACUUUAGAAAUUUUUUCAUAAAACAGAGUCACACGCUCGUGUGGGCACAGGGACACGCCCGUGUGUCCCAAACACGCCCGUGUCUCCAGGCUGUGUAACUCUCUGUUUAUGACGUCAGCAUCAAUUAAGGAUCACACGGCCAAGUCACACGCUUGUGUGUCAGGCUGUGUAGUGAAUUUAAUUUUCUCAUUUAAGGUGUAGACUUCACACGGCCUGGGCACACGCCCAUGUCCUGGGGUUGUGUCCUCUACACGGCUGAGACACAAGGUCGUGUCUCUGCCCGUGUGUUUACUACCAUGCACACUAACUUGUAAAACUAGGGUGCAAGGGACACAUGGCUAGACGACACGCCAAUGGGCCAACCGUGUGUCACACAUGGCCUAGACACAUGCCAGUGUGUCUACCCGUGUGGACAACUUUGAGGCUAUUUUCAAAGCCCUCUUGUCACCCUUAACAACACUUACUCACACUUAUAUGUCAAUGGUGAUUAUUAUGGCAUAACGGGGUUACUUAGAAAUCCAUAGCUUAAACUCGUGGAUGAUAAAUUCAUAUCACGUAUACCUAAUUGGGACUCCAUGACUUGUUAAGUUCAUUCAAUCCAUUUCUUUACCUUUAUAACUAUAGUGACCAUGCCAAUUGACAUCAUUUAUCCAUCAAGCAUAAAUUCCACAUUUUGUUAAUCAUUAUUUACAACUAAUUUGGCACACACCACAAGGGUAAUAACACAUCUCAUGCAUGUAUCAAUAUUUAGGGAUUUCAACCCAAUAAUCAAUAUGAGUCAUAUUUCAUGGCCAUAUACAAAAUGGAAUAAUAUACCAAAACGAGCCAUUACUUUGGCUAACAAAUAUGACACAUAUAACAAAAUAAUAAGUCCCCUAUACAUGUCAUACUUAAAUGUAAUAAACCUAUUAUACCCCAAAAGAUUUGUUGAUAGUGUGACUCGAGCUCUGAUGUUCACGAUCCCCGAGCUAGCUUGACAAUGCUAAAAGAAAAAAAGGGAAAAAGAGAGAGGUAAGCAUAUAGCUUAGUAAGUCGUGUCCAAAUAAUAAACAACAUAGAUCAUGAAACUUACGGAAUAAACAUGCUAUCAAUUACCACUACAUUAUCAUAUUACACUUAAUGAACAUAUUGAUAAUUAAUAAUAAAUGUCUUUGAACUUCAUGCUUAUCUUACUCUUUCAUACCCUCAUGAAAUUUCCAAACAUGAAUCAAGCCCAAUACUCAUGAGGUUUACGUACAUACCUAUACCAUACAUUCUUACUCAUUCUACCCCACUUCUUAAUCAUAAUCUUGAAUGGCCUGUUAAAUUACCUGGAAUACUAAAGAAUGUUCGGAAUCAUCAUACACCAAAUAGAAUGCCAAAGCCAUGUCCCCGACAUGGUCUUACAUGGGUUUACAUAUCGAUGUCAUUUCCCAGAUAUGGUCUUAUAUGAAGUCUCAUGUUGGUGUCGAUGCCAUGUCCCAAACAUGGUCUUACACGAGACCUCACACCGAUGCCAUGUCCCAGACAUAGUCUUACACGAAAUCUCAUAUCAACGCCAUAUCCCAAAUAUGGUCUUACUUGAAAUCACAUACCGAUGCUGAUGCCAUAUCCCAGAUAUGGUCUUACACUGGCACACAUAUCAACGCCGAUGCCAUGUCCUAGACAGGGUCUUACACUGGCUCUCAUGUCAAAGCCGAUGCCAUGUAUUAGACAUAGUCUUACACUGGCUUUCAUAUCGGAUGCCGAUGCCAUGUCCCAGGCAUGGUCUUACCCAGGAUCUCAUUAAUCGUGGUGUCCUGAUAUCCGAAUCUUAAGCAUUCCUCAGGGUCACCCGAGACUUCCGAGAUAUAAAGCUAUCACCAAACUUUCAUUAAAUUGUCAGAAGACAAUUUCAUUAGGGCAUUCAUACAUAUAUCAUAGAACAUCAAUUAUUAAGCGCAUGAUAAUAAAAUUGUUAAAUUACUUACACACAACUUACCUCGGUGCAAAAUGUGACAAUUUGCGAUUUAAUCCACAACCUUGCCUUUUCCUCGAUCAAGGUCUAUUCCUCGUCCCUCUUGAUCUAGAAUAAAACAUUUAACUCAUUUAAUACAUGUAUUAUUCAAUUCUGUCCAAACAUCACAUUAUGGAAAAAUUAAAAAUUUACCCUUAAAGUUUCACAAAAUUACGAAAUUGCCCCUAGAAUUUUAUCCUUAAAGUUUCACAAAAUUACGAAAUUGCCUCUAGGCUCGUAAAAUGAAAAGUAUCCCAUUUUUCUCAUUAUUCAAGCCUAGCCGAACCAUUUUCUCUCUUAGAAGAACCCACAUUUUUUAUUUAUUCACACAUUUACACAUAAUUUUUACAGCUUUUACAAUUUGGUCUUUUUUAUUAAUUCCACCAAAAACCACCUAGCAAAGUUUGUUUAUCACACCUCAAACCUCCAUAUUCUUCCAUUAGACAUCAAAGCACAAGCAUGUCAUUCAUGGGUAUAUUUUUGAACAUGAACCCUAGCUCAAAUUAAGGGUAGAAAUAGCUAAAUCGAGCUACGAGGAUUUCAAAAAUAUAAAGAACAUUAAAAACGGGGCUAGAAUGCAUUUACUUUUGAGCUUGAAAGAUGAAAGAAACCCUAGCUAUGGCUUCUUAAAAAUUUUGGCCAAGGAGGAUGAAGAUGGACAUAAUUUUUUACUAUUUUUACCUUUUAAUUCUUUUAAUAACUAAUGGACCAAAAUGCCCGUCUAUUGAAACUUUGAGAUUUUAUCCCUCCUAUGUCCAUUUUUGUCCAUAAUGACAUAUAAUGGUAUAAUUAAUAAAUAAGGACUUCAAAUUUAAAAUCCCAUCCGGUUGAAUCUCAACCUCUGUCAUUGAAAUUAUAUGAGAAGGGGUCGAUCUAUAAUUGCACAACAUAGACAUGUAAAAUACAUCAUGGAUCUUCUCCAACUCAGGCGGUAAAGCCAACUGAUAAGCUACCAGUCCUAUCCUUUCGAUGAUUUCAUAAGGUCCUAUGAAACGAGGACUCAACUUGCCUUUCCUACAGAAUCUCAGAACCUUUUUUCAUGGGAUACUUUCAAAAAUACUUUAUCGCCCACUUGAUACUCAAUUUUUUUUCUUUUCAAAUCUGUAUAAGACUUUUGUCUAUCCGAUGCCGCUCUUAAACAAUCUUUAAUUACUUUUACUUUGUCCUUGGUUUCCUUGACCAAGUCAACCUCGUGCAUUUUAUUUUCUUUGAGUUUUGUCUAAUACAAGGGAGUUCGACACUUCCGGCCAUACAGCGCUUCAUAGGGUGCCAUUUUUAAACUUGUCUGAAAACUAUUGUUAUAGGCAAACUCAACCAAGGGUAAGUACUUUUCCCAACUACCUUAAAAUUCUAGAACACAACAUCUCAACAUGUCUUCCAACGUUUGAAUCACUCUUUCAGAUUGGCCGUUGGUUUGUGGAUGAAAGGCAGUACUAAAAUUCAAUCUCGUGCCCAAGGCUUCUUGCAACAUUUUCUAAAACCUCGAGGUAAACCUCAGAUCUCUAUCCGAUAUGAUCGAUAAGGGUAUUCUGUGAAGUCUCACAAUUUCAGAAAUAUAUAACUCUGCCAAUUUAUCAAGCGAGUAGUCGAUACGUACCGAGAUAAAGUAAGCCUACUUCAUCAAUCGAUUAACUACGACCCACACCAUAUCUUUCUUACUCAGUGUCAAAGGUAAGCCUGUUACAAAAUCCAUGGUAAUUCGAUCUCAUUUCCACUCGGGAACCAUGAUAGGCUGUAGUAAUCCUGAAGGUACUUGGUGCUUAGCAUUUACUUGUUGACAAAUUAAGCAUCUCGCAACAAACUCGGACAUAUCUCUCUUCAUACUGUUCCACUAAUAUAUUUUCUUCAAGACGUUGUACAUUUUUGUACUAUCGGGGUGUACUGACAAACGACUAUUGUAUGCCUCAUACAAAAUUUUAUGAAUCAACUCGGUAUCUUUAGGAACACAAAUCUAUCUUGGAACAUCAAGAAACCAUCAGAAUUAACCCAAAAAUCAGAUUCAGAACCCGACUCACAGUAAGUCCUCUUAGCUUGCAAUUCAUUGUCGUUAUUCUGAGCUUCACAAAUUUCUAGAAGAAACAUCGACCUAGCUCUCAAAUCUGCUACGACAGUACCAUCAUCUGAUAAAGCCAACCGAAAAUCCAUGACUCUCAAAGCAAACAAAGAUUUUCUACUUAGGGCAUCGGCGACCACAUUCGCCUUUCCCGAAUGAUAGUCGAUUAUUAACUCAUAAUCUUUUAUCAACUCUAACCAUCUCUGUUGCCUAAGAUUUAAAUCCUUUUGAGUCAUUAGGUAUUUCAAACUCUUGUGGUCAGUGAAUAUUCGGCAUAUCUCGCCAUACAAAUGGUGUCUCCAAAUCUUCAAUGCGAACACAAUGGCGGCUAGUUCUAAAUCAUGUGUCGGGUAAUUCUUUUCAUGCGAUUUCAGUUGUCUAGAUGCAUAGGCUAUCACUUUGCCUUCUUGCAUAAGCACACAUCCCAAACCAUUCAAGGAUGCAUCAAUAAAGAUCACGAACUCCUUUCCUAGCUCAGGUUGAACUAAUACUGGAGCUUCAGUCAGCAACGCUUUUAGUUUCUCAAAACUCUGUUGGCACUUCUCUGUCGAUUCGAACUUAACAUCCUUUUGUAACAACUUCAUCAUUGGAGUGAUAAUCAUCGAAAAUCCUUUAACAAACCGUCUGUAAUAACCGGCCAAGCCUAAAAAGCUUCUAACCUCUGUCACAUUCUUCGGCGGUUUCUAGUCAAUAAUAGCUGAAAUCUUACACGGGUCAACUCUAAUACCGUCUCCCGUAACAAUGUGUCCUAAAAACCCAACUUCACGAAGCUAAAAUUUGCUUUUACUGAACUUGACAUACAACUAUUUGUCCCUCAAAGUCUACAAAAUAGUUCUCAAGUGCUCGGCAUGCUCUGCUUCAUCUUUUUAAUAAAUCAGAAUAUCAUCGAUGAACACCACAACAAACUUAUCUAAAUAUGGCUAAAAUAUUCGGUUUAUUAAAUCCAUAAACAUGACAGGAGCAUUCGUUAACCCAAAUGACAUAACUAGAAAUUUGUAGUGGCCAUACCUCAUUCUGAAGGUAAUCUUAGGCACAUCUGACUCUUUAACCCGCAACUGAUAGUAGUCAGAACUUAAGUCUAUCUUUGAAAAUAUAGUGGCUCCUUUCAAUUGAUCAAAUAGGUCAUCAAUCCUUGGAAAAGGAUACCUGUUCUUUAUAGUCACCUUGUUGAGCUGUCGAAAUAGCCUCAUUGAACCAUCUUUCUUUUUCACAAAUAAUAUAGGAGUGCCCCAAGGUGAAAGGCUCGGUCUCGUAAAACCCUUAUCAAUCAACUCCUAUAACUGAACCUUCAACUCUUUUAAUUCUAUUGGGGCCAUCCUAUACGGAGCAAUCAAAAUAGGCAUAUAUCGAGAGUCAAAUCAAUGCCAAACUCCACUUCCCUAAUAGGAGGUAACCCCGGUAAUUCUUUCGGGGAACACAUUCGGAUAUUCACACACUAUUGGUAUCGACUCAAUCUUAACUCAAACUCUUUAGUGUUCAACACAAAGGCAAGGUAAGCUUUAUACCCCUUUCUUAUACAUUUCUAAGCAGACAUGGAAGAAAUCACUGCAGGCAUGCCAUUCAAUUCAUCUGGUUCAAUCCCAAGAACAUUACCAUUCUCACAUUUCAGUUCAAUAAACUUUCUUCAACAAUUCAUUACCACAUCGUGAGUGGUCAACUAAUCCAUACCAAGAAUUACAUCAAAUUCAUCAAAUGGUAAUAGCAUGAGAUUAGCCAGAAAAAAAUGACCUCUAAUCAUUAAAGGGUAAUUUUUACACACUUUAUCAACUAAUAGGUUUGACACCUUUAUUACGAACUCAGUAGAUUCAACAAACAAGUUCAUAUCAGACACCAACUUCAUGCAAAUAUACAAAUGGGUAGACCCCGGAUCAAUUAAAACAAUAACAAAAGUUUCAUAGAUAGAAAAUAUACUCGUAAUUACAUCAAAAGAUAGUGCAAAUGGCGUAGGUCCUCGUAGGUGCCCUACCAUCGGGUCUCACCGCAGACUCCCUAGGUGCACCCUUACUACUCGUUCGACUACUCGGAUCUUCUGAGGUCUUCUCUUAUUAGUAUUGCUAUCUGACCUUGUUCCUUGAAAGUUUCCUCUCCCUGUCCUCCCCAGACAAUCUCUAACAAAAUGGUCAGGGGAACUGCACUUAAAAUAGGUUCUAUCGCCCCCUUGGCACUCUCCGGGGUGAUGCCUCCCGCACUGGAGGCAUCGAUCUAUUGGGUCAAGCUUUCCCAACACUAGCAAUUGAAGUAGUCUGAGCUUUCAAAACCGUGUACUAUUUACUCCUAUUCUUGCCUGAAUACCCAGUAGAGGCAAUAGAUUGAGUAGUGAACUCUCUUGACUUCUUAGAUGAAGUUUGAAAAUAUUUGUUCAGUUGCUUCUUCCUCGGGUCUCGAGACUCCAGAUUGACUUUCCGCUUUUGUUUAGCCAAUUCUUCAGCCUUGCAUGCUCGCUCGACCAACAUAACAAACUCUUUCAACUCAAGGAUACCAACCAACAAUCGAAUGUCUUCGUUCAGCCCAUCCUCAAAUUUUUUACACAUGUUGGCUUCAGUAAAUACACAUUCCCGAGCAUAUUUGCUAAGCCUCACAAAUUCACGCUUGUAUUCAGUAAUUGUCAUUUUACCUUGUUUCAACUCGAGGAACUCCUUCCUAUUUUGAUCCAUAAACUUUUGGCUGAUGUACUUCUUGUGAAACUCCUCUUGGACUAAGUCACUUUCUCCCUCAACACAACUGAAACGAGGGUAUUCCACCACUGGUAAGUUGAAUCUCUUAGAACCGAUACCACGCCACUUCAUGCACUCCUCCGAUGUGCAUGGAAACUCAUCAAAGACCCGGAUGGUAUUCUCGAGCUAGAAUUUUGCUCUUUCCGGAUCAUUAUCUAUGUUAGCUAGGAACUCUUCGGCUCCUUACUUUCUAAUCCGGUCAACUGGAGGCCUUUCCCUUCUCACCAUCUCAAAAACUUGGGAAGCUACAUGGAUAGGCUGAGGAAUAGGCGAGAGUGGGGGAGGUUGAACACCCGGGUUUGUCUGAACAAACUCAGUAUACCAGUUAUUCAUCAUGUGGAGAAAAGCUUCUAUGUCUCAUUCUUCUCUAUUAACUAUCUCGGUUCUACUAUAAGAUGACACUACUUCAGUGGGAGCAGGCACGUUACUUUUUACAUCGUCAGCAAUAGCUCGUUCGGGAUCCAUUUACUAUAUAAAACACAAUUUAAAUUGUCAAGAGUUGUCACACUAUUAUAAUGUACGUAUGGCAUGUAUAGCUAGACUUCCACACUCACUACGUAGUCCAAAAACUGACUAAAUUGUAGCUCUGAUACCAAUAAAUGUAACACCCCUUACCCAUGUCUAACGUCGGGACGGAUACAGGGCAUUACUGGACUAAAACAUAAACAUACACACAGAACUGAGCCAUAAAAUUUCUUUGGAAUACAAAAUGUACAUACACAUGCAACUCGUCUUUAUUACGGGCCUACAAGGCCCAAAGCAUACAUCGGGGGGUGGUUUGGGACCAUACCGUGAACUUUAGAAAUUUUUUUCAUAAAAUAGAGUUACACGCCCGUAUGGGCACAGGGACACGCUUGUGCGUCCCAGACACGCCUGUGUCUCUAGGCUGUGUAACUCUCUAUUUAUGACAUCAGUAUCAAUUAAAGAUCAGACGGCCAAGUCACACACUCGUGUGCCAGGCCGUGCAGCGAAUUUAAUUUUGCAUUUAAGGUGCUGACUUCACAUGGCCUGGGCACACGCCCAUGUCCUAGGGCCGUGUCCUUCACACGGUUGAGACACACGGCCGUGUCUCUACCUGUGUGUUUACUACCAUGCACACUGGCUUGUAAAACUAAGGUGCAGGGAACACACGGCUGGACAACAGGCCUAUAGGGCCAACCUUGUGUCACACACGGCCUACAUACAUGCCCGUGUGUCUACCCGUGUAAACAACUUUGAGCCUAUUUUCCAAGCCCUCUUGUCACCCUUAACAACACUUACACUCAUAUGUCAAUGGUGAUUAUUAUGGCAUAUAGGGGUUAUAUAGAUAUCCAUAGCUUUAACUCAUGCAUGAUAAAUUCACAUCACGUAUACCUAAUCGGGACUCCAUGACUUGUUAAGUUCAUUCAAUCCAUUUCUUUACCUUUAUCAUUAUGGUGACCAUGCCAAUUGACAUCAUUUAUCCAUCAGGCAUAAAUUCCAUAUUUUGUCAGCCAUUAUUUACAACUAAUUUGGCAUACACCACAAGGGUAAUAACACAUUUCAUGCAUGUAUUAAUAUUUAGGGAUUGCAACCCAAUAAUUAGUAUGAGCCAUAUUUCAUGGCCAUAUACAAAAUGGAAUAAUAUACUAAAAUGAGCCAUCACUUUGGCUAACAAAUAUGACUGUAACACCCUACGCCCGAACCUUUCACUGGGACAAAAUACGAGGUAUUACCUAACUUUAAAAUCAUGCUAACAAACAAUUCUAAGUCUCCGAAAAUCUGCUCAAUUUAAAACUUUUUCAAUUUCUACAUUAAGCUUAUUGUCAUGGGCCUACGAUCCCCAAAUCACCAUACAAAACUAUUCAGGAUCAACCCGGGCCCUUAAGCCAACUAUAGAAAAUUGACACUUGACACAGGGGCACACGCCCAUGUGGAAGGGCAACACGCCCGUGUGACCAUUUCAACCUGGUCGUGCUGAUGGCUCAUGUGUCUCACACUACCUAAGCAAAACAAGGACACGCCCGUGUCCUUCACCGGUGUGGAAUUAAUUCUAAAUGUACCUACAGGGGUUUUCACAUGGCCUGGCCCACGCCCAUGUUCCUGGCCCGUGUCCUUCACAUGGCCAUGACACGCCUGUGUCCUAUCCCAUGUGUAAAAACAUGGACAUUCUAUUUCUGAUGUCAGCAAACCCAAAAUGUCAUACGGCCAAGGCGCAUGCCUGUGUGCUAGGUCGUGUUCCUCGCACGGUUGAGACACACACCGUGUCUCUGCCCGUAUGUUUACUAUCAUGCAUACUGACUUGAAAUUUUUACGUGCAAGGGACACAUGGCUGGACAACACACCCAUGGGGCUGACCAUGUGUCUACCCAUGUAUACAAUAUAAGGCUAUUUACCAAGCCUCUUUGCCACCCUUACUUACACAACCUACCCAAUAACCACCAAAUCCAACAUAAAACUAUCUCGAGCAACCAAAUCAUCUACAAUAAACAACAUACCAUUUACGCAUUUUACUCAACCAUGAAAAUAACUUCAUUCCAUACAAAUAAAAAUGAACAUUAGCCAUCAUUUGAGGCUUAAUAAAAAAUGAGGGAUUUAUCCGAAUCCAACACAUUUGGCCAAGUUAAUAUUAACACAAAACAUAAGUCUAGUUCCCUAUGCAUGCCAUAUUCAAAAAUAUAAAUCAAACUAUACCGAAUGCUUCGAUUGAUAGUGUGAUCGAUAUUUCUGACUUUUGUUGAUCCUUGAGCUAGAUAGGCGGCACUUUAAGAAAAAUGAAAGGAGAGGGAGUAAGCAUAAAGCUUAGUAAGUUGCAUAUAAAUAAAUAUACAACAACAAUUUUACCAUUCAUUAACAUGCUCAUAACAAAAAAGUAGGCGCAAGCAUAACUUACUCAUCACUAUCCAUAUAUUUCUCAUAGCAAAUAUCAAGCUUAUAUCUCAUACUUCUCAAAUAGGUACCUAUACCACUCACAACACGAUUAUACCAUGCUCAUUAACUUAAAGUCAUAAUACUCACCGUUGAACCAUUCAAAACAUUACCGGAUAUUCAUUAAGCCUCAAACGUGGGUAAUGUGCCAGUGUCAUGUCCCAGACACGGUCUUACACUGGCUCAUAUCUCAUGUCGAUGCCAUGCCCCAGACAUGGUCUUACGCUGACUAUCAUCUCGUAACCGAUGCAUGUCCCAAACAUGUCUUACACUACCUUACGUCUCGAGGCCGAUGCAUGUCUCAGACAUGUCUUACACUAGCACUCGUCUAGAUGCCGAUGCAAUGUCCCAAACAUAGUCUUACACCAACUCUCAUAAUGUGGCUGAUGCAUCUCCUAGACAUGUCUUACACUAGCCCACAAUAACCCAUAUGUCAUGGAAUGAAUAUCCAAUAUAUUUCCUAAGUUUGAACGGGAACUCUACUAUCUCUAUUAUCAUCAUAGUUUCUCAAUUUCAAAAUCAAGCAAUUCAUGCUAUAUUAAUUCAAAUACAAUUCAACACAUAUACAUUAGUGAUGAAGUUGUAUUAUUUACAUACAACUUACCUCGGAUUACAAAAUGAGACAACUAGUCGAUUUAGUCGAUUUGCUUGGCUUUUCCCCGAUCUAGGUUCAGAUUUUGUAUUUCUUCAUCUAUAAUAAAAAAAAUUCACAAAUUUAAUCACUUUAUCGAUCUAGGUGUUCAAUAACCUAUAUUUGGGCAAAAUGACCAUUUUACCCCUAGACUUUUACAAAAUGACCAUUUUACCCUUAGCUCUGAAAAUCUAUUUUUAUCGAAUUUUUUCACAUCUUAAGCUUAGCUGGACCCCUUUUACUCUUAUAUAAACUCCAAAUUCCCACUAUUUCACACACUUAACAUCUAUUUUACAACUUAUGCAAUAUAGUCCUUUUAGGUGUUUUCAUGCUAACACCUUUCACAAAAGUUGUUUAUAAGACACCCAAGACUCAUCUUCUUCCAUAAAAACUCAGAAAACAUCACAAAUCCAUUCAUGGAAAAAACCUAAAAUCUUAAUCAUUUUGCAAAAUAGUACCUUCAUUAGAAAGCUCAUGCUUCAAGGGGUCCAAAAAUGUAAAAAUCUUCAAGAAACUCAUUAAAAUCACUUACUUGUAGAGAGACUAAGUGGCUAAAAAUUUUGAUGCUCAAAACCCCUCUAAUGGCUACAUUUUCCGGUGAUGAAGAAGAAGAGGAAAAGUUGAUAUCUUUUUCUCCUUUUUUUUAUUUUAGUCAAAAUUGGUCACCAACUCACCUAAUUUUGACAAAUUUGUCUCCUCUUUGACUCUAUGGCCGGCUAGGACCCUUCCUAAGGUCUAUUUUCCCUUUAAAGACCCCCAAUUUAGGUUUCAUGGAAAUUUAACACCCUUAGCUAUCAAUUUAAGACUUUUUCACUUUAUGCGAUUUAGUCCUUUUUCUCAAUUAGGCUUCCAAACGCUAAAAUUUACUCACCAAUUUUUUCACGUACUCUUAAAAACAUGCUAAUACAUCAAAAUAAUAAUAAAAUAAUUUUCCUUACAUCGAAUUUGUGGUUCCGAGACCACUAUUUUGACUAGGCCCUAAAUGGGGUUGUUACAAUAACACAUAUAACAAAAUAAUAAGUCCCCUAUACAUUUCAUACUUAAAUGUAAUAAACCAAUUAUACCCCAAAGGAUUUGUUGAUAGUGUGACUAGCGCUCCGAUGUUCACGAUCCUCGAGCUAGCUUGACAAUGCUAAAAGAAAAAGGGAAAGAGAGAGAGGUAAGCAUAUAGCUUAGUAAGUCGUGUGCAAAUAAUAAACAACAGAGAUCAUGAAACUCACGGAAUAAACAUGCUAUCAAUUACCACCACAUUAUCAUAUUACACAUAAUGAACAUAUCGAGAAUUAAUAAUAAAUGUCUUUGAGCUUCAUGCUUAUCUUACUCUUUCAUACCCUCACGAAAUUUCCAAACAUUAAUCAAGUCCAAUACUCAUGAGGUUUACGUACAUACCUAUACCAUACAUUCUUACUCAUUCUACCCCACUUCUUAAUCAUAAUCUUGAAUGGCCCAUUGAAUUACCUGGAAUACUAAAGGAUGUUCAGAAUCAUCAUAUCCCAAAUAGAAUGCCAAAGCCAUUUCCCCAAAAUGGUCUUACAUGGGUCUACAUAUCGAUGCCAUAUCCCAGAUAUGGUCUUAUACGAAGUCUCAUGUUGGUGUCGAUGCCAUGUCCCAGACAUAGUCUUACACAAGACCUCACAUCGAUGCCAUGUCCCAGACAUAGUCUUACACGAAAUCUCAUAUCAACGCCAUAUCCCAGAUAUGGUCUUACAUCAAAUCACAUACCGAUGCCGAUGCCAUAUCCCAGAUAUGGUCUUACUCUGGCACACAUAUCAACGCCGAUGCCAUGUCCUAGACAUGGUCUUACAUUGGCUCUCAUGUCAACGCCGAUGCCAUGUCCUAGACAUGGUCUUACACUGGCUCUCAUCUCGAAUGUCGAUGCCAUGUCCCAGACAUGGUUUUACAUGGGAUCUCAUUAAUCGAGGUGUCAUGAUAUCCGAACCUUAAGCAUUCCUCAGGGUCACCCGGAACUUCCGAGAUAUAAAGUUAUCACCAAACUUUCAUUAAAUCGUCACAAGCCAAUUUCAUUAGGGCAUUCAUACAUAUAUCAUAGAACAUCAAUUAUUAAACGCAUGAUAAUGGAAUUGUUAAAUUACUUAUAGACAACUUACCUCGGUGCGAAAUAUGACAAUUUGUGAUUUAAUCCACAACCUUGUCUUUUCCUCGGUCAAGGUCUAUUCCUCAUCCCUUUUGAUCUAGAAUAGCACAGUUAACUCAUUUAAUACACGCACUAUUUAAUUCAGUCCAAAAAUCACACUAUGUAAAAAUUACAAUUUUUGCCCUAAAGUUUUAGAAAAUUACCCUUAGGCUCGUAAAAUGAAAAACACCCCAUGUUUCUCAUUAUUCAAACCUAGCCAAAUCAUUUUCUCUCUUAUACCAACCCACAUUUUUAUUUGUUCACACAUUUACACAUAGUUUUUACAACUUUUACAAUUUGGUUAUUUUUAUUAAUUCCACCAAAAACCACAUAGUAAAAGUUGUUUUUCACACCUAAAACGUCCAUAUUCUUCCAUUAGAGAUCAAAGCAGAAGCAUGUCAUUCAUGGGUAUAUUUUUGAACAUGAACCCUAGCUCAAAUUAAGGAUAGAAAUAGCUAAAUCGAGUUACGAGGAUUUCAAAAAUAUAAAGAACAUUAAAAACAGGGCUAGGAUGCACUUACUUUUGAGCUUGAAAGAUGAAAGAAACCCUAGCUAUGGCUUCUUGAAAAUUUCAGCCAAGGAGAAUGAAGAUGGACAUAAUUUUUGACUAUUUUCCCUUUUAAUUCUUUUAAUAACCAAUGGACUAAAAUGCCCUUCUAUUGAAACCUUGAGAUUUUAUCCCUCCUAUGUCCAUUUUUGUCCAUAAUGACAUAUAAUGGUAUAAUUACUAAAUAAAGACUUCAAAUUCAAAAUCCCAUCACAUUUAAGCCACAUUAAUCAACUAAAACACAUGUUUUUCACUUAUUGCAAUUUAGUCCUAAUAGCUCAAUUGGGCACCUUAUUGGUAACAUUUCUCGUUGAUAUUUUCAAACAAUUAUUAAAUCACACAGUAGACCUUAAAACUUUAUCAAUAGCAAUAUUUCCAGCUAAAAUUUGUGGUUUCAAAGCCACUUUUUUGUUUAGGCCCUAAUUUGGGAUGUUAUAAAAUGUAGGUUGCUAUAGUUAUAAAAAGGGUUCGGCUAGGCUUAAAGUAUAAAGAAAUUGAAUGAAAAUCAUUUUAUGAGUCUAGGGGAAAAAGUCUAAAUAUGACAAAGUUUAGGGGCAAAAAUGUAAAUUUUCAAUAGUAUGAUUUUUGGGUCACAAUGAAUAAUGUGACUAAUAAGUAAGCUAAAUGUGAUGUUAUAGAUCAAAGAAAACGAGGUUCAGACUUAGAACGGGGGAAAAAUAAGUAAUUAACGGUUAGGUCCCUGUUUGCCAUUUUUGGUGUCGGGGUAAGUUUGUGUGUAAAUAAUUCAACAUCAUGUUAUUAUGUAUUUGAUGUUUUGAUAUUGCAUGAAAUGUAUAUUUAUCUCUACGGAUUUGAUUAAUGAUAACUCGGUGACAAUUCGACGAAGUAUUGAUACUGCAAAUUCCUGAUUGAACCUUAGGAAUAGUUAGGAUACAAAUGUCAUGACAUUAGGUUUAUGUGAGAUCGCAUGUAAGACCAUGUCUAGGACAUGGAAUUGACAUCAAUAUGUGAUCCCAUGUAAGACCUUAUCUGGGAUAUGACAUUGACAAUGAUAUAUGAUUUCGUGUACGACCAUGUUUGGGACAUGGCAUCGAUAUGAGCCAUCGUGUAAGACCAUAGCUGGGCAAUCGGCUUCAACUUGUGAUCCCAUGUAAGACCAUAUCUGGGAUAUGUUAUUGGCAUCUUACAAUGUAUAUGAGAAUUCCAAAGUAUCCUUUAGUAUCCCAAGUGGUUCAACGGGUAAUCCAAAGAUUAUUGUAACACCCCUUACCCAUACCCAAGACCGGGACCAGGUAUGAGGCUUUACCAGGCAUGUACUAGAACAUUUUCAAGAAAUACGGUUUAUAAAAUUUUGUUCCAAUUUGAAACCAAUCCAAUAGCAUCUUGGUGUCUCUAUUAUGAGCCUACGAGGCUCAAACAUACAUUGAAAUUGAUCCAGGACUAAACCGAUGACCUAAUAAAAAUUUAAGAAAAAUUCUGAGUUAAAAGUCUCUCAUGCCCGUGUGGAGACAUUGCACACGCCCCUGUGCUUUGGGACACGCCCGUGUGCUUUGGGACACGCCCGUGUACUUUGGGACACACCCGUGUCCCCUACUUGUGUAGGAUUAAUUGAAUUUAUUUUCUACCUCAAACCUACAGGGUUUUUCACACGGCCAAGCACACGCCCCCGUGGCUCCGGCCCGUGUCCUUCACACGGCUUUGACACGCUCGUGUCCAAAAACUUGAGCAUUCUUUUUAUGACAUCGGCAUGCAUUUAGGGGCACACGGCCAAAACACACGUCCGUGUGUUAGGUCGUGUCCUCAACACAAUUGAGACACAUGACCGUGUCUCUACCCGCGUGUUUUCUACUUUGCAUUCUGACUUAAAAUUUUAGGUGCAGGGGAUACAUAGUUAUGCCAUACGCCUAUGGGGUGGUCCGUGUGUCACACACGAUCUAGACACAUGCCCAUGUGUCUACCCAUGUGGACCAUGUUAGGUUAUUUUCCAAGCCUUUGGUCACCUUCUAACAUAUGUUCUCAGUUAUAGGUUUCCAUAACAUAUAGCCAGGCCUAAUUAUACUCUCAAAUGACAUCGAUGAACCUCGUUGAAUGUAAACCUCAUUUCAUCGGUCUUACACAUGCUAGGAUUAUUUCUCUUGUAUCAAGAAUGUCUUUGCCUUAUAACACAUUCAAUAUUGGCUCAUUAUUAUAACUCAUUGCCAAUUAUGGUCUAGCCAUCUCAUGUGAUUCGGUCAUGUUACAUGUGUAUCUACUUGUGAUACACCAUGUUUAUUCAUCUCAAUAACAUUAGAACACAAAUAUGCACAACUAUGUAGGUCAUACCUUAUAACAAAAUGAGCCAAAUCCUAUGGCCAUAUGCAUGUGGACAUCUACACCUUACAAGCCUUCAUAUUGGCUAAUCAAAUGACACAUAUUACAAAAUUAACAAAAGCCCUAUACAUGCCAUUAAACAAAAUAAGAGUAUCUAUAUACCAAAGCUAGACAAGAUGAUAGUGUGUUGACUCUCCAACUGUCUUCUAAUUUUCGUGAGUCCACGAGCUCUGUAAGACAGGGAAAAGAGAGGGGUAAGCAUUUACAUGCUGAGUAAGCCCGAAUAACUGGAAAAUAAACUUACCAAUUUGUUUAGCAUGCAACCAUAUUAGGCAAAUAAACCAACAAGUAUGGAAUGGUUUCCCUAUCACAUGCACUCUAUCAACAAGUUAGUCACAUAACAUCACACCAUGUAACUUAUCUAAGAUGAGCUCAUCAUUCAAGGUUUUCAUUUUUGUAUCACAUAUUAACCCUAUUGAGUUACUCAAAAAAUCUCGAUGGAUUAUCCAUUUACCGUCAAGUCAUAAGAGCGAUCAUCUCAUGUAUGCACUCCCGCGAACCUCACAUUAUACAGCAGGAUUACCAGUUCAGGAUUGGCUCAUUAUUAGAACUCAUUGCCAAUUAUGGUCUAGCCAUCUCAUGUGAUUCGGUCAUGUUACAUGUGUAUCUACUUGUGAUACGCCAUGUUCAUUCAUCUCAAUAACAUUAGAACACAAAUAUGCACAAUUAUGUAGGUCAUACCUUAUAACAAAAUGAGCCAAAUCCUAUGGCCAUAUGCAUGUGGACAUCUACACCUUACAAGCCUUCAUAUUGGCUAAUCAAAUGACACAUAUUACAAAAUUAACAAAAGCCCUAUACAUGCCAUUGAACAAAAUAAGAGUAUCUAUAUACCAAAGCUAGACAAGAUGAUAGUGUGUUGAUUCUCCAAUCGUCUUCCAAUCUUCGUGAGUCCACGAGCUCUAUGAGGCAGGAAAAAGAGAGGGGUAAGCAUUUACAUGCUUAGUAAGCCCGAAUAACUGGAAAAUAAACUUACCAAUUUGUUUAGCAUGCAACCAUAUUAGGUAAUAAACCAACAAGUAUGGAAUGGUUUCCCUAUCACAUGCACUCCAUCAACACGUUAGUCACAUAACAUCACACCAUGUAACUUAUCUAAGAUGAGCUCAUCAUUCAACGUUUUCAUUUUUGUAUCACAUAUUAAUCCCGUUGAGUUACUCAAAAAAUCUCGAUGGAUUAUCCAUUUACCGUCAAGUCAUAAGAGCGAUCAUCUUAUGUAUGCACUUUCGCGACCCUCACAUCAUACGGCGAGAUUACUAGUCCAUGCUAAAUCCCCCGUAAUGUAAACUCAUAAGGUGAUGUCGGGAUUACCAUUCCAGGCUAAAUCCCUUAUAGAGACAAACACCCUCAAUGAGCUCGGAUUUGAAUUACCAGUCCAGGCUAAAUUCAGACCCUAAUCGGAUUACCAGUCUGGGCUAAAUCCACAAUGCACACAUAUUCUUCGGGAGGCUCGAUCACUCAAGGAACACCCGUCCGGGCUAGAUCCUUUUUAUAUUUUAGAUCAACGGAUUACCCGGCUGGGCUAAAUCCUUUUCUGCAACACAUGCAGGAUCUCAACUCAUGUAAGCCAAGGUUUAUCCAUCGAAUUUCCCUUUUUAUUUCAACCGGGACAUUUAUCAUUAUAUCAUUAUUAUUUACAUAUUUCAUGGAUUUUCAUGCCAUCAUUAUAACUAAAUAUCAUGCAUUCAUAACACGCGUAAUUAGACAUAUUAAUAGUUUACUUAAAGUUAUUUGAACUUACCUGGUAUUCGUCUCGGUUUUGCGUUUCGGUUAUUCUGAAACCUUUCGUUUUCCUCGAUCGACCUCCGAAAUUUACUCCUCGGGGUCUAUAACAAUAAAAAUGAAUCACUAAUACCUCACAUUUUUACGAUGUAGUCCCUAGGCUCGUAUAAUAAAAUGUAUGUAAUUUCUACCUUACCCAAGCUUAGCCGAUUGUUCUUUCCUCUUAUGGAAGCCCACAUUUUUCCAUUAUUUCUCAUCUUUCUACCCAUUUUUACAACUUUUACAAAAUGGUCCCUAAAACCAUUUCCAUGAAAAAUCACUUAGUAAAAGUUGUUUACCAUAUUUUAAACUUUUAUUUUCCUCCAUAAACCAUCAAAAUACAAAUAACUCAUGCAUGGGUAAAUUUCUAAACAUGAACCCUAGCAUGAAAUAUGGGUAGAAAUAGAGAGAGUAAGUUACCAAGAUUUCAAAAAUGCGAAGAACAUUAAAACGGGGCUUGGGAGCACUUACUAUUGAGCUUGAAAAUGUUGAAAACCCUAGCUAUGGAGGGAUUGAGAAAUUCAGCUAGAUGAGGGAGAAGAAUGGAUGAUUUUUUCCUUCAUUUUCCAAUUUUAUUUCAUUAAUUAGCCAAAUGACCAAAAUGCCCUUAAGCCAUUUCUUUAAAAUUUUAUCCAUACAUGCCUAUUUUUGCCCACAAACUUAGAAAUUGGGAAAAUUUCUCUUUAAGACCUUUUAAUUAAUAAUAUAAACCAAUUUCAUACAAAUUGGUUCUAGAAUCCAAGUUUAACAAUUUAUUCAAUUUGGUCAUUAUUUUCCAAUUGGACACCUUACUCAUAGAAUUUCCUCAUGAAACUUUAACAUAUACAUAUUUUCAUAUUCUAGACCUCAUAAUAAUCAUAAAAUAAAUAUUUCAAUGUCGAAUUUGUGGUCCUGAAACCAUUGUUCUGACUAGGCCCUAUUUUGGGAUGUUACAUUUCUGCUCCGUUUAGGGACUUUCGUCCUCAAAAGUCUUACCAGUAAAGAAGUUCGGAUAUUGGCUUCUCAUGGUUUCUUCUGGCUCCCAUGUAGGCACUUCCACACCAUGUCAAUGCCAUAAGACUUUUACUAAAGCCACAUAUUUAUUUCUUAGCUGUUUAACCUCAUGAGCCAAAAUUUUGACUGGUUCAUCACCAUAAGUCAUGUUCGGUGUAAUUUCAAUCUCCGUCGGUAAAAUCACAUGAGAGGGAUCUAAUCGAUAUCAUCUUAAUAUAGAUACAUGGAACACAUCAUGAAUCUUUUCUAGUUCUGGUGGCAGUGCCAAACGAUAGGCUAAUGGUCCAAUUCUUUCAGUGAUCUCGUAUGGUCUGAUAAAUCGCGGGCUCAGUUUGCCUUUCAGGCCAAAUCUCAAUACCUUUUUCCAUGGAGAUACUUUUAAGAAUACUCAAUCUCCUAUUUAAAAUUUGAUCUCUUUUCUUUUUAGAUCAGCAUACGACUUUUUCCUAUCCGAUGUCACUUUUAAACAGUUACGUAUCACUUUAUCCUUUUCUUUAGUUUCCUUGAUCAGAUCAACUCCGUGAAUCUGAUUCUCUUUGAGUUCCUUCCAAUAUAAUGGAGUUUGGCACUUCCUGCCAUACAAGGCCUCGUAAGGUGCCAUCUUCAAACUUGUUUGAAAGUUAUUGUUGUAGGCGAACUCUACUAAUGACAGGUAUUUUUCCCAGCUGCCCUGAAAUUCAAGGAUGCAACAUCGUAACAUAUUCUCUAGAAUCUAAAUCAUCCGCUCAGAUUGACCACCGGUCUGCAGGUGAAAAUCUGUACUAAAGCUCAACUUUGUACCCAAGACUUCUUGUAACUUCUUCUAGAAUUUCGAAGUGAAACUCGGGUCUCUGUCUGAAAUAAUCGAUAGUGGUACCCCGUGUAAUCUCACAAUCUCAGAUAUAUACAAGUCAGCCAACUUGUCAAGUGAAUAAUCUAUCCUUACCAGAAUAAAAUGAGCCGUCUUUGUGAACUUAUCAACCACAACCCAUAUAGCAUCUUUGUUUUUCGGGGUUAAUGGUAAUCUUGUCACGAAGUCCAUAGUGAUUCUGUCCCAUUUCCAUUCGAGGACCAUCACAGGCUAUAGCAAACUAGAAGGUACUUGAUUUUCAGGCUUGACUUGCUGGAAUAUCAAGCAUUUCAAUACGAAUUCGAAGAUGUCUCUUUUCAUGCCAUUCCACCAGUACAUUUUUCUUUAAAUCAUUGUACAUUUUGGUACUUCCAAGAUGAAUAGACAAACGGCUAUCAUGUGCUUCUUGCAAGAUUUUUAGAAUAAUUUCAUUAUUCCUCAGUACGUAAAGUCUAUCUUUGAACAUCAAACAUCCAUCGGGACUAACUUGAAAAUCUGAUUCAAUGCCCAACUCACAUUGAGCUCUUUUAGCCUGCGGGAUACUAUCAUUAGUCUAAGCAUCAUAAAUUUCCUGAAGAAAUGUCAGCUUGACCCUUAAAUCUACCAAGACCGAACCAUCAUCAAAUAAUUUCAAUCGAGUGUUCAUGGCCCUCAAUGCAAAUAAAUAUUUUCUGCUCAACGCGUCAGCGACCACAUUCGCCUUUCCCGAAUGAUAAUCGAUGAUUAGCUCAUAGUCUUUAAUUAAUUCUAACCAUCUCCGCUAUCUCAGAUUCAAUUCUUUUUGAGUCAUUAAAUACUUCAAACUCUUGUGGUCUGUGAAUAUAUGACAAGUCUCACCAUAUAAGUAAUGCCUCCAGAUUUUCAAGGCAAAAACAAUGGCGGUAAGCUCUAAAUCAUGCGUCGGAUAAUUCUUCUCGUGUGGCUUCAACUGCCACAAAGCAUAGGCUAUCACCUUACCAUCUUGCAUAAGUACACAACCCAAUCCAUUUAAGGAUGCAUCACUAUAGACCACAAACUCUUUUCCCGACUCAGGCAAUACUAAAACUGGAGCAUCAGUCAGCAAUGUCUUCAACUUUUUGAAACUCUACUGGCACUUCUCUGUCCAUUCAAACUUAACCUCUUUUUGUAGUAACCUCGACAUCGGAGUCGCGAUCAUGGAGAAUCCUUUCACAAAUCUUCGGUAGUAACCGGCUAAUCCCAAAAAGCUUCUAACAUCGGUUACAUUUUUAGGUGGUUUCCAUUCAUCAAUUGCAGAGAUUUUACUUGGAUCAACUUGGAUGCCAUCACCUGAAACAAUAUGACCCAAAAACCCUACUUCUUGGAGCCAAAAUUCACUAUUGCUAAACUUAGCAUACAAUUGCAUUUCCCAUAAAGUCUGCAACACAGUUCUCAAAUGCUUCGCAUGCUCCAUCUCAUCCUUAGAAUAAAUCAAAAUGUCGUCAAUGAACAUAAUGACGAACUUGUCCAAGUAUGGCCGAAAUAUCCUAUUCAUUAGGUCUAUAAAUACGGCCGGUGCAUUUGUUAACCCAAACGGUAUGACAAGAAAUUCAAAGUGGCCAUACCUCGUUCUAAAAGUUGUCUUUGGUACGUUCGACUCCUUAACCCGUAACUGAUAGUAGUCAGAUCUCAUGUCUAUCUUAGAGAAUACAGUAGCUCCCUUCAAUUGGUCGAACAAAUCAUCAAUCCUUGGCAAAGGAUACUUAUUCUUGAUAGUCACAUUGUUCAAUUGCCAAUAAUCUAUACACAGCCUCAUUGAACCAUUUUUCUUUUUUACAAAUAAUAUGGGAGCACCCCAAGGCGAAAAGCUUGGCCUUACAAAACCUUUAUCCGUCAGCUCUUGCAACUAUGCUUUUAAUUCUUUCAGCUCGGUUGGUGCCAUCCUAUACGGAGCAAUAGAAAUAGGAGCUAUCCCUAGCACCAGUUCAAUACCAAACUCUAUCUCUCUUUUAGGAGGUAAUCUGGGUAAUUCCUCCGGGAACACAUCUGGAUAUUAACAUACUAUUGGCACAGACUCAAUCUUCAACUCUAUUUCCUUAGUGUUUAGUACAAAAGCAAGGUAGGCUUCGCACCCUUUUCUCAUAUAUUUUUGAGCAACCAUUGCUAUGAUUACAACCGGCAGUGUAUCCAAUUCUUUUGAAACAACCCGUAGAACCUUACCAUCUGGGCACUUCAAUUCAAUAUGCUUGCUACCACAGUUUACAAUUAUAUCAUGCAGGGCUAACCAAUCUAUGCCAAGUAUUACAUCAAACUUAUCAAAUGGCAAUAACAUAAGGUUAGCCAGAAAGCAAUGACCCUGAAUCGACAAAAGAUAAUUCUUACAGGCUUUAUCAACUAGAACUGACUUGCCUAAGGGGUUCGACACUCUGAUUAUAAAUUUUGUAGGUUCAAAUGGUAUAUUCAUACUAGACACCAAUCUCAUGCAAAUGUAUGAAUGCGUUGACCUCGGAUCAAUUAAAGCAACAACACAAGUAUUAAAAAGAGAAAAAGUACCCGUGAUAACGUCAGUAGCAGAGGCUUCCUCUCGAGCGCGUAUUGUACACGUUCUUCCCAAGGCUCGAGUCUCUAAUUUCGUGGUGUCUUUGGCAGCAACUCGACUGCCACUAACACUUCCAGGAUACUUCAGAGGUCUACCUCCUGGAAUAAGAGCACUCAAUUUCGGGGUUACUUCCACCUCUUUAUCGGUUGACUCUGGGCAGUCUCUGAGGAAGUGGUCAAGAGAACCACAUCUAUAACACGCACCGUUCUUCAUCUGGCACUCUCCGAAGUGAAAUUUAUUGUAGCUAUUACACUUCAGCUUUUGGUCAUCUACACUCCUCAUACUAGUCACCAUCGGAAGAAAGACUUCUGAUUACGUCAUUUGGAGCCUCUCGCUAUACUCGAAUAUCCUACCGAUAAAUUGGAGUGGUCAUGUUGGCUCAUUGAUUUCUUUGUGGGAAAUGAGAGCGUCUUACCGCUAGGUCUCUUACUCGCAACUUGAGCUUCUCUCUUAGCUUGUUUCCUUUCAUUAUUGAGCACUUCAGCUUUCUUGGCCCGAUCAGCUAAUGCAGCAAAUUCUCGUAUCUCAAGAAUCCAAUUAAUAGCAUGAUUUCCUCAUUCAGACCUGCCUCGAAGCAUUUACACAUUUCUAACUCUGUUUGAACCCAUUCAGUCACAUAUUGACUUAGCCUUACAAACUCCCUUUCGUAUUCCGAUACAGUCUUAUUCCCUUGUUUGAGUUCCAAGAACUCAUUCCGUUUCGAGUCUAAGAACCUUUGGCUGAUGUAUUUCUUCUUAAACUCCACUUGAAAAAAUUUCCAAGUGAUGUUUUCCAUUGGCACCAUUGAAGAUACGAUCUUCCACCAGUUGUAUGUAGUAUCCUUUAGGAGUGACACGACACACUUUAAACACUCCUCAGGUGUGCACGAUAAUUCGUCCAAUACUCUUAUAGUGUUCUCAAGCCAAAACUUCGCUCGUUCAGCAUCAUCAUCAAUCUUAGCUCUAAAUUCCCCAGCCUCGUACUUUCUAAGCUUGUCUACAGGGGCUUUACCAGUUCUUACAAUUGCCAUACCUAAUGGCACUUCCUUAUCAGGUUGGUUAGGGGGCGGGGGAGAUCGUGCUAUGUUGGGGUGAUUCCUCAAAUAAUCCCUAAACUACUCAUCCAUCAUGUCAAAGAAUGUGACUCUGGCCUCUUCCCGACCUUCAGACAUAGGCCUUCUACUACUGCUAGAAAUAGCUCAUUGUACAGUAGUUGGAGCAUGGCUCUCGGCUCCCUCAGACUCAUCUUGUGCUUGAUUGGAAGAUAUUUACUAUAUUCAAAGAUAAUAAACAGUUAGGAGAUAUCACACUAUCAACGUUCAUAUAAUGGCAUUUAUAGCUAAAAUCGAUGCACUUUACGGUAGUCCUAGAACCGACUAAAUCGUAACUCUAAUACCACUAAAUGUAACACCCAUUACCCGUACUCGAGACCGGGACCAGGUAUGAGGCGUUAC